GCUCACACGUUCAAUGUACUUUCUGCAGAAGUAUCCAAUCAUACACACAAUCAAUUUGACAUUUCAGUAUAGGAGAACACAAAUUCAUCAGCUUCAGGGCAUAUGCAUAACAUAAUUGGGAUUAGCAGUUAAACUGCAUGAUGGAUCUCACACGCUACAUGAUUUAUCGGUAAACACCAAAUUCAGUAUAGAGACAGAAAAUUUAAGAAUAAGCUACAGUCUUUUUUGCACCAGCCUACUGUCCCCAUUUGCCCACAUGAGAGCGUUUAUCCUCCCCUCCUUAUCAGCCUGCACGUGAUAUGUGAAGUGAGGAUCCUUUGAACCAAGCUCCGCAAACACCUCCAACGUUUAACUAACAUCAUCAGCCUCUUGCUCGCGGCUUAUUUUGCCACACAAGCUCCUUGAAGCUCUUUUUGUGAAAGGCACAUUCUCCGUCGACCCAAAGAAACUGCCUAAUGUUGUGCACUUUAGCAAGGUUCACAUUGUUCUGCCUCAAAUUCUUCAUCAAAUACCUGCUGUACACGUUGAUGUGCUUGUGCGAUUGUCAGUGUAUCGUCUGCACAUACGUGCCAGACAAUGAAUGGUUCAGACUGCAGCAGCCUUAUCAGAGUAGUGCACUAACGCUGGCAAGACCAGUAUUAUCCACAAUAGAUUUCCACUGCAACCACAAUUUAACGACAAAUGAGACGAUGAACAUGUUAGUGAAACAACCAGCUCACAAAAAAAGAAUUGAAACCAGAUUCACAUACCGUCCUCUCGACAUUCAGACAGCUUUUAGCAUAUCGAAUGUCAAAUCCUUUCUCCCAUAAAUACAGAUUGUAAAAAUCGUAUGCUUCAGAGCUUCGGCACAAUGGCGUUGUCUCCAAUAUCUGAAGCAAAUCCACGUAUUGCCCUCUCCAUGACAGUAGUUCGAUUAGGACAUUGGGCUCCUACCAGGGACGGCAGCACCAAUCCUCACUCUGCUUGCACAAAACAGAAUUUAUAUCUUCAGUGCAGCUGAUACUAUACACAGUACUAUCAUAUAUUGAUUAUUUAAGCACAUCAAACCAUAUGGCCAAAGCUGCUAACAAGUUCCAUCAAAGGAUUAAUCAACAUUGUCAGUACUAUCAGUACAAGACCCAUAAGCCAUACCUAUCUGAACCUAAUUCAAAAAUGACUGAGCAUUGUGUUGUCUGUACUAUCCUGUGUGUACAAAAUGAGUCUUCCAAUUAUUCAGCUGUUGUCCUAUGAAUUAUUCAGGAGCCUCCCCCUUCUGGGUUAGAUGUUGAACGAAACCAAAAAAAUUCAGAAAUAGCACGACGAAUCCAUAGCUUCUGAGCUAUUCUAAAUAUGACAAGAACUCUAAUCAGGAUUAUGAUUCAGGGCUUGGGGACUGAACUUCACAAUUUUCCACCGACCAACACUAAUAUUUCUACAAUUUUUAAGCUGAAGAGUUACUACUUUUUUCUGAUGAUUUUACUAAUUUCCAUUUCAGAAGUAAACAACCACUUUUCACUUAGGUUCAAAAAAAACCACUUUUCACUUUUCCUAGCUAUUCUAAAUAUGACGAAUUACAUGCCGUCGUGUCCAUCUGCUCAAUUGACUGCUCCGAAGUUAGCGGGGAAGCUUCAGUUUCGCAUCUGCCGCCCCUUGCGCCGCACAGAUCUGCCCCAUGGCGCUGCCCGACCACACUCUGAGUCUUGGCUGCUUGAUCCAUCCCAUUGUGGUCGUCGGUGCUGAUAGAAAGUUAGAUAAAAAUUGUGAACAAAAAUAAGUAAAAGCCCCUCUUCUGGACAAAGUAAGAUAAGAACCUCUGCUACUCUAAUGUACAUCCAUGCAACCAAAACUCUGAGAAAUACUCAUAGCAACACUGAUCAACAGUUCUCGAAAGACAUUCCAGAUUUUUGAACAACUACAGGCCAUUAAGUAUUAACGAUAUCCAGAAGUUGUAAGCUCAUGGUACUCCUACUAUCUCACGACUAACUAUAUCCGAGCAUUUAUUCAUAGAUCAUGCAUACUCAUACUAUUUUUAUGUACAGAAUCAUGAUAUAUCUUUGUUAAAUCAAUUCCAAUGCAUGCACAUGCACAAGUCUGAACUAAACAACCAUAUAUGAUGCAUAAAUUAAACGUAAACCAGCCAAGCCCCAUGUAAAUAAAAUACUGAAUUUGUAAAUUGAUGAGUGAGAGAAUUAACUGACCAAUAGUUCUGUACUUCAGCAAGAUAUAGAUGACAACAUUCUAUGAAAAGAAAUCACACUGUCCUACAGAGCACAAUCAAACCAUUCCCGGUUCAGUUUAGUAUAGAAGUACUACACUACUAAAGGAGAGCUAGUUCUCACAUAGGAACAAAAUAAGAUCAAUCACGCAGGGUCCAACAUUCAUAUAGAUAAACAAAUAUCUAUGCAACAUCACGACACUUGCAAGGUAACUGUAAAGCAUGCACAUGGCACAUCAUAUAACUAAGGCAUAAUGGUGAUUUAGUGCUGGUUUUCAAAUAAACGCAAACAAUGCUACUACCACCACAAAUUAAGGCUCGCAAUAUAAAACAGAGCAAUUGCCCAAGUAUUUAUUUUGUGAGUGUCGAAGCAUGAUAAAUGUGAGCGGAAAUCAUGUCUUAUGAAUGAGCAGUUCGAUUUUCUCACAUGAUAUAGUACCUGAUGCACCCGUGACUGGAUUACUGCUUGUAGGGGGAAAGCAAGCACAGCGAAGCUUCAGAAAUAGCACUAUAGGGAUCACCAUAUUUUACAGAUAAAAUUUUCAUUGUUAGCCUGUCCACAAAAUCGGCAGAAAAAUAUCAUGCUUAUAUUACAAAGCAGCAAGCAAGACACCUAGGUCCAAUCUCUCUAUCAUAAAUGAAAAGCAUAUAACUACUACAUUCCUUAUAAAUUAAAGAUGUUUAGAAAGUCAAUAUAUUAGCCAUCAAAAUCAAGGUGCUGGAGGAAACAAGAGGCAAAGAGAGAGGGCACCAAAUUAGCUUUUUAGGCCACCCAUGUCGCACCUCCCUGCGAUCAGCCUUACUGCUGAGGCAUCACUGAGUGGCGAUGCCAUCGCGGCAGAGCUCUUGGACAAGACAACCCUCGUUAGUUCUUACCAUUCUUCUUUAAAGAACCAAGUAUAUCAUCAUGAUGGCCCGUGAACCCCUGUAAAACACAAUGAUAGCAGUCAAUGGCAUACAUAUAUUUAUAAGAAAACAUAUAUAUACUAUGAAUGCAGCAAACUUUGCUCAUCUACGAAACAGAAUAUACUUCAUCGUUUAUAUGGGUUAGCAUAUUAUAGUACUGCACAUGUAGCAAAAAUACCAAGCAACCAAGAACCUCCUGGAUCGACAACAGAAACAACCAAGAUGCACUGACUUUUCAAUACAAAUGACUAAACAUAUAUAACCGCCGAUGCAAAAAAAACUUAACUCCCAUGCAUUGCAAAAGUGACCUCAUUAUGAAUCUAUUUUUAGAUGAGUACCAAACAAAUUUCUAGUGAAGUAUCAUCACAAAAAUGGUAAUGGUAAGUGGAAAGGACAAAGACUACACAAUUGUUAUCUAUGAAAAACUGGAGUAACUAAAUUUCAAAGACCAAUGGUGGUGCAAGUGGCAUAUUGUGCCAUUUUGAGCAAAAACCAUGGAAGGUAAAAUGCAGCACAAAGGAAUGGAAUUUAUUCAAUCACUCUGAGAAGACCUGGCUCGUAGUAAUGAAAAGUGUGUAUUGCUGGCCAUAGACAAUGAGAUCAUUCAGACCGCGAGCUUCCAGUCGACCACCAUAUGAAGCAAACAUAACAGCAAGCUUCCAGCCAGUGACCAUAUGAACCGAAGACCAGUGAUCAUCCAGCGGACGACCAUAUGAAUUGAAGAUAUCAACUAUAUAAGUAGUACAUUUUUCAGUAAAGCCUGAGAUUGUUGUAGUAAAGGGUGUAGCUAGAAUCUGGACCUUAGAUUCAUGUGUACCUGCAGAAAAUAGGAAAGGGGACAUGAAAUUAUGCUGAUAGAAAUAUAAAUUCAAUUGUGUGAUUACUAAUUCAAAUUAAAAAUAAAUUCAUGAGGUGUCACUGGCAGCAGAACCUACACCUCACAAAGUAAAACCUGCCACCAGUGGCAAGGCAGCUAAGCAAAGUAAUUCGGUAGUUCUAAUGAAACUAAAGAUCUUAAGCCUGGAGAGCCCUUCAAACUGAACCAAAACAACUGAAUCAUCGCUAACAAAAUUUCCUUACAUACAUGAUACCUAACUAAUGCACCUGUGCUAACAAAAGAACAUAAGAAAAUCGUUGCUUUAUAAUAUAAAGCGGCGGGAAACCCUUUUUCCUAAGAACAUAAGAAAACAUCAACGAAUAAUUAUUCAGAAGUCAACAUGGCUGAGAACCCAGGGAUCUAAAUAAGACGUGUGCAGAUCCCAUUUUUAUGCCUAGGUAGUCAAUUAUACCAAGAAACAAAAUGAGAUGGGUAUUGCCUCCAAAAUCGUACCAGCAACUUUACCAUGUUAUACAGAGAACCUCUCAACUAUAAUUUAAUUGACAAUAGUAACAGUCUCCAGCUAUAGUAGCAGGGCCGAAUUCUCUCAACUAUAUAUUGCAAAAAGGGUUGUCGUAGUCUCCGGCUUGGCUGGUUUUACCUUGAACAAAAUUGCGAUUUAGAAAAGCAGCGUGGGUUUUCUGAAGAAGCUCUUGUACCAGUCAAUAGUCCCAUUGCCUGAUUGGAGUGAGGGAGAAAUGCAGGUAAGAAGAAUGAACAAGCAUCCUGAAGUGAGAGUAGUAAAUAACCAAGAAAUGAACCAAUAAAAAACAGAAAGAACAUUCACUAUCAGACAGUAUAACUUGGAAAUGAAAACUAUCUAGCAGAUUAGAGAUAGAGCUCACCUUGUUUUUUUCCUCUUCCUCAAGAUCCUUCCUCUUCUCUUCUUCGCUCGAUCUGCACACAUCUUGUUUAGAAAAACAUAAAACAAGAUAUCCAAAUUAGAUUAAAGAACCAAGGGAAACAACAGGGGAACCUGCAUGAGUUUUUCUUCUGCAUCUUCCAUGGAUGACGAAUAUCACAAAGAAUGUUGAGAUCCAUCUUGGCCUCACCUUCUGCCGAGGACGACAACGACGAAGGCACCAUGGACCACCGCUUCGCUAGCAUCACCGCCUGCUGCGGCUGCUGCUCCCCUCAUCCCCGGCGGCGCCACCACUGGAACAUGAGAGGAGGUGAGGAAAGGUGACGGCCUCUAUCACCCCGCGGCGCCGGCGACCGCCAACUCCAGAUCGAAGAAUUGGGAGGAAACGAGGAGUUGAGAGGAGAGGUGGCGGCCAAGCUCACCUUGACAUCUUCCAAGCUCCUCCCGUGCGCACCAUCUUCAGCCGUCAGGAUCUCAUCCAUGAAGAUGCUACUUUUCCCUAUCGCCGGCCUCUCCUCCACCCCGUGAGGCGUCCGCUGCCCGGUCUUCGGCCUCUCUGAGCGGGUGGCUGUGGAUGCAGUAACUGUGGGGACCAAGGGGAACGGGGGCUAGGGUUUGGCCGGCGGCUGGCACGGAACUGAGAGGAGGGAGGGGGCCGACGACACGGCGGAGGAGAGGAGGUGGCCGAGGUGAGCGAGGAGAAGAGGGGCGGCGACAUGGGAGAGGAUGGAGGUCGGAUGGAGCAGGGGCAGCGACCGCGGGAUGGUAGGAAAGGGGGCUAGGGUUCGUGGCGGCUGAGGGAGAGAGAUCGAGGACGGAGGAAGGGUUGCGGCGUGCGGGCGAUUGGAUUGGGCCGACUGCACCCACGCCCCCGCAAAUGGCGCGACGCGCACGCGGCGUGCGGGGAAAGGGCACACCUGCACCUCGAAACGGCUCACCCAGCCAACAGGAACAGAACACGAGCCCACCAGUCAUUGGACAUGAGAACUUACCACGCGGUCAAAAUCACCAGCGAGAGCAACGAGCAUCUAACGGCUCAAACGAAGUCAAAGACCAGAUUGACCACGAUUCAACGGCCAACGAAGGCUGAAAUCGGAGGAGCCUCCUGGAGGUGAGUUGGGUAGCCUCUUUUUUGUUUUAAAUAUAUGUAGAAAAUGAUGUAUAUAGAAUGUAAUUCCAAUUGAAAAUGGAUCCCAUCCGAAAAAAAUAGUAGAAUACAAACGGGAUUCGAAUUGAGUUGGCACGGUAAACGUGCACUGUGCAAAAUUUGAACGAAGCGGGGAAAAUCGCAGUAACUGCCCGAAACCAAAAUCUGCGAGAUGGAAAUCACUACUGCCUAUCCCUGUCGCGCAAAGCCUAUAUGCUGGAUUUCUAUAGGUUUCGAUAGGGGUAGGUUUGUAAUUUCACACAAACGUGACGUAACCGCCUCUCACUCGGAUUCAUACACGGUGGGCGCCAAAACACAGUGUGCCCUCGGCCGAAAUCGACUCCCUCCCCGAUUCAUAUUCAUACACGGUGGGCACCAAAAAUAAACUCUCAUCGGCAAAUAUCCGGUGUAUGCGAGAUUACCGUCCUAUCCCCAACCGACUAAUAUUGUUGUGAUGUAGUAGAAAUUUGAAACGGGGGCUAAGUUUGUAAAUUUCCUCGCAUUUGAGACAAGCGCGCCCUGAAUACAUGGUCCCCCCCCUUCCUAUCUACCUCCCUUUUCUCCAUUCGUACUAUGUGGGCGCCAAAACACCCUCUCCGCCCACCCUCCUCCGUCCGCCGCCGUCCGCCACCCCAUCCACCGCCGUCCUCCUCCACCAUGUCGGAGCUGAUACCCAACGCCGCCGUCCUUUACAAGAGAUCGACCUCUCUCAUCCACGCCUUCGGACCGGGAUCCUUGCAUCCCGUCCUCUCGCUUCAUCCCCGCUGUCGUCCACCUUGCCGGCGCCGCUCCUACGACCGUCUCGUCCACCGCGCCCCGCCGCCACCGUCUACCCUCCUAGAUCUGCUUCCACGCCGCCGACAGCCAUCGCUACCGCAACACCGUCAAAUUCUCACCAGAUGCGUACACGGCGCUGCACCAGAGGCGGUACUCUUUCAUAUCUGCUCAACUUAUUUAUCGCAGCAAGAAAAUAGAUCGCCACUGCUUUACUCCGAUUUCUUGUCUUGGUUGCGAAGUUGCCUUUGUCCAGUUUGCACCUUCAGAUCCGCCAAGGCACGCUCAACACUAUACUCCCAAUGCUUAUGGUUUUCCCCUUUUAUAUUCCACACUAAUUAAAUCAAAGUAGACUAAAUUUCAAAAGUGGGUCAGUCGAUUUUUCAGAGCUCGCGGAGUUCGCCGGUGCGAUCCAAGGGGCUCGGGUGGUUGUGGGGCCUUGACGAAUGAAGAAAACUCGACGCGGGUGGGGGGUGGGGGUGGCGGAGGAACACAGGCGGUGGGGGCCGGUGCUCCGGCCGGCGGCCCGUGCGGUGUUCUGUAUGGGAAGAAUCAAAGACAAGGAAGAAGAAAGGUUAGGAGACGUAGGAUCUUCAUCCAACCGCCUGAAAUGGUCGAGAGACAGCUAGGAGUUGCAUUCUUAAUGCGCUCUGGUUCAUCAUGUGUGGGCACUGUGCAACCAACAUUUUAUUAUCCAAAAUCUGCUUGCUCUUCUUUACCAUGUUCGAUAGUGCUGGCCUGUACGUGAUCGAUAGGCUUUCAAUUACUAGCGGCAAUACAACACCGUAUUUUCAAGCCAAUUCCACUUUCCCGAUUUAUAUAUCGUGGUUAUGGUGUACCCCUGUUAUGUACACUAUGAUCUGCCUAGUUGCUGUGUGCUCUUGUUAUCAUGGUUUGGCAAUAAACUAUCUAUACAGUAUAUUAUGAACCUAUCAUCUGCCAGCUAUCCUUACUUCUGGAGCCUAUUUUUUGUGUACUUGUGCCAGAUUAUAUAAAUGCACGCACGAUAUUACAGCACACAUGAGCUCUCUCAUCAGAAUCCAGUGAUAGCACAUAAGUAUUUACAGGGGCGCCCCUAUAUUAGAAUAUCAUCUGCAUUACAAAGAUAAUCUCACAACUAUUUAUGUUUUCAUGGUUCUCAGAUAUUAUACGCAAUUAUAGUGAAUAUCAGAAUCCACGCAUCAGAAGAAUAUUGUGGAACACUGCAAUGACUUACAAAAUUGGCACCAAGGCAUUGAGUGCCAUUUUGGAAGCAAUGAAACGCGUACGCUCCCCACCUGUUGAUUCUUGUUCAGAAUAUCAUUCUAAUGACUAUUCUAACCUCGAGGAGUCAAAGGCAGAUGGCCUGUCCUGUUCACCCAUCAAGGUGCCUGUUUUAAUUUGGCAAGGUUUUAUUGAUUGCGCGUAUCUUACAUAUGUUGUCUUGCAUUUCUUCUACUUUGUUGCACCACCAUCUGCUUAGUUUACUCAUCAUAUAACUCGAGAUGCUAUGCCCAUCCAUUAUCAAUACAUAUUCCAUCUGUCGUCAUACCAUGUUUUUUCACUCAAAUAUUGUUCUUGUGCAUCAGACAUCAAAAAGGAAGAGGGUGAUUGCUGAACCUGAAGGAGCACCAGCAAAGUCCUUGAAAAACGUGGUGGUGCCGGAGAAAUCAGACAUCGCCCCACUUAUAUUGGCUGUACAACCAGUGACACAAAACAUAGUACCGACUCCAGCAGACUGUACCCAUACUUCACUGGCCACACCACUAGCCCCACCACACAGGACCUGCACUCUAGCAAAAGGUAUACCGAUUUCAUUUGCCAUAGCACCAGUCGUACCACAGAAAAUUCCCACUCCAGCAAAACGUACAGCAAGUCCACCGGCCGAAGACCUAUCCCAACUGCAGAGACGGCCAAUUCCUGCAGAUUGGAACCCCAUUCCAUUUAUUCCCAGUUUAAAAGACAAUGCUUUCAAUGUUGUUAGGGACUACGUGCAUAUAUUCCCAUCAUGGGAAGAUUAUAGUGAAGACAAACACCAUUUUCACAUCUUCCUGUCCAACUUACGUGUAAGUGCCAUUAUUCAUGGUUAUUAUUUUCCUGUUUUCUGCUGAUCGAACACAUCAAUGAUUUACAUUACAUUGUUGUAACCAGGUGAGGGUCAAUCUGGAUAGUCAUGACGAGCAAAGCUUGCUUGUGCUUUUCAAGGAAGCAUUGCAGCAAUAUCGGUGUUACCUAAAGAAAUCACAUUUUGAUGGCAAGUCUACGAACGAAUUUUUGGUGAAGUCUCCUGUGCUAAAUUUAGAAGACAUUGAAUGGAAAAACCUUGUUAUGCACUGGUCUCGUUCCUAGGAUGGGGUACUGUCUAUGAAAUCACAUGACAAUUUGAAUUUCUACUUUUCCGCAUGUGCCUUACGGAUCUUUUUUGCAGGAAAUCAGCUCGAAGAAGAAUUCCGGUUUGAAAAGAACGACAGGAUAUCGCAAAUAUGCUGCCCGCUGCUUUGCUCUUGUUAGCACCUGUUGUCCUGUAUCACUGUACUUGCAUACAUACCUGGUUCAUUAUGUGACAGCAGUAUGCAUGAUAGCUUACUUAUCAAUUGUUCGCUCCAAAUUAUCUGAUAUGUAUGAAUGGUUACAUUAGUGUAGAAUAUAUCCAAUGCCAAUGAAUUUUUUUAGCUCUGUAUUGUUCUUGUAAGUACAUGUUGUCCUUUAUCAGUGUACUUAUAUUGACAGGUAGUUGUUCAUGUACCAUCACUCUGCAGCUUAUUUUCCUUUGCCCUCCAUUUUCUACACAUCAGAUCUAUAUUUACUCUUACCAUAAGGUCGGUACUGAAGAAGUUUAGCUAUGCAUUGCUCUUGGCUGUGCCUCUUGCCUGUAUCGCUGCACAUACAUUUAUAGCUACUUGAUUAUGUAGCAUCACUCUUCAUCUUAUCUUAAAUAUUCUCUAUUUUUUGUAUAUUAUCACAUCUAUAUUUACUCUUAACAAAAUGUAGAAUAAAGGCAAUGCUUAUGAAGAACAUUCUGUGCUAAACUUCUUGAAUUGCCCCCCCCCCCAUCAGCAUGGACAAGGGCUUUAUAGAGCCUAUCUUCACCAGUAAUGUAAGUUUGCCCUUCUCAAGCCUUUAAACUUUGUUGUGUAUAUUUGGUUAGGCAUGACUGCAACAGCUGUUUAUUUUUGAUGUUUGCAUCAAAUUGCAUGUUUAAAGUUUAUUAUGUAAUUCAUAAACAAAAGUUUGUCCUUCUCAAUUUAAGUUUCCAGUUGUACAACCAAGUUCCUUCUUCAUACCAUGUAAAUUAAACUAUACAGAGCAAGUGAUCUUCUUUUGCAAUGCAUGUAUGCUUCUGUUCUUCAUUCGUAAUCCAGUGGUGUGGUGAACCUACCCACUACAACACAAUGUCAUAUUCUGCAAUGUCUUAACUAUGAACAAUGUCAUAUCAUUCUACUAUUAUUUAAACCGCCUCUUUAUUUGCCAAUCUGAAAUGGGAUAAAUUGACAGCACACUAACCAUUGAUACUUAUGAGCUCUUGAUCUGUAAUCCAGUGGUGUCGUGAAGCUGCCAACUCCUUCACAAUGUCAAUUCCUGCCAUGUCUUGACCUGAACAAUACCAUAUUGUGUUAAUGCAAUUUUAAACUGUGUCACUUUAUUUGUCAGUAAGAAAUGUGAUGAAUUGUCAGCACUGAUACUUUUAUGUGCAAAACAUGUCAUCUGUCUGCUUGUUUAUCUUUCAGAGUGAGGAAGAUAUAAGUGUUGAACAAGCGCAGUCUCAUCAUCUUGCUCACCUGCUUGCGCUGCAGCUCCCCAACAGGGCUAACCUUUCUUGAACUCUAUUGAAGUGCUGUCGGUUUUGUAUAUUAUUUUGCCGGCGUGUUUAUUUGCACUGGUGGCGAUCUUUGAUGCCCAGUGUAUGUAAUCUGCUGUCUGCUUGUGCUUUAUUAUCAUAGUGGCGAACUUUGAUGCCUAAUGGAUGUAAUAUGCCGUAAUUUCUUUAUUGUAUAGUCUAGGUUUUUUCUUAUUCAUGAUGCUGCAGUUAUUUUACUGUAUAUAUAUCCUGUCUUCACAGUAAACUGGCCAAACUGUAAAAUUACGGUACAUAAUCGGGCCGUCAUGCAAUCACGAUGUAUGAUCCGCAUCAUGGGCCCCGUCAAACUGGCCCACUAGUAGAUACGGGCCUUUAAUAGGCCGAGUAACCCCCGGCCCUCUUUUCGCAAGAAAACUCAAUGGGCUUUUAGGAGUCUGAGAAGUAGGCUGGGCCUGAAACGUGCCGAAUAGCUCACGGGCCGGCGGCAGCCCGAAAUGGACCCUGGCCCAUGAUUGUGCGAAUCAAUUCACGGGCUUUUAACAGGCCAAAGUUGUCUCGGUCCUUGUUUGUCCCAAUCAGAUAUCGACUGCGAGCAGGCCGGAUGCAAACCAGGUCGUAGUUAGGCCCAACUAUAUGACGGGCUUUUAACAGGCCGAAAUUAAUAUAGGGCCGAAAUGUUAAAUGGGCCCUUAAUAGGCCGAAACUAAUAUCAGACCGAAUUACUAAAUGGGCCUUUAGCAAGUGGGCCCAAAAGCAUAGCGUCCAGUCAAUGGGCCGAAUAUGGUAUGGGCCAUAAUUGAGCCCAAAGCCUCUUAAAGGGCCGAACCUGAUCUGGGCCGUGAUUUGGCCCAGAAAGUGGGAGGCUUUUAACGGGUCGGAUCUUAUAUGGGCCAUUACUAGGUCCGGAACGUGGCAGGCCAUUAAUGGACCGGAUCAAUUAUGGGCCGGCAUUUGGCCCAAAACAUGGCAGCCAGUUAAUGGGCCGGCCUACUAGGGUCCUCAAAAUCUUGUGGGCCUGGGCCGGCCCAUUAAUGUUGGCGAAAUCUCGUGGGCCUUUAGCUGGGCCAGCCCAUUAUGAUCCGCAAGAAUUUUGUGGGCCUUUACCUGGGCCGGCCCAUUAUGGCACAAAAAAUCUUGCGGGCCUUUACCUGGGCCGGCCUAUUAUGGCCCACGAAAUCUUGUGGGCCUUUAGCUGGGCCAGCCCAUUAUAGUUUGCAAAAUCUCGUGGGCCUUUAACUGGGCCGGUCCAUUAUGGGCCGCCAAAUCUUGUGGGCCUUUAGUUGGGCCGGCCCAUUUAAACUUGAUUGGUCGUGCCAUGUGUCGACGUAUCAUAGGCGCCUUCUGUCCAAUGAGUGGAUGACAUCUGUCCCAACGAUGAGCCGACACGUGUUUCCUCCAGCCAAUGAUGAUUUUACACGUGGAAAAUCCCCAUUGGUCGGGGCUGUUAACGGGUUAUCGGAUCCAAAACCCGACCCGAUAGCUUAACGGCGUUCCGUUACGGUGGAUGCCACGUGUCGGUCACCCUUGACGAAAGCACUUCUGUGACGCGCGAUUUAUUGUCAUGGAAGUGGACACUUCCGUGAUGAUAAUUUUGGUAAUGUCAUGGAACACUUCUACGACAGCACAUGUAUGACUAUCUUGAUUCUGUCAUAAAUUUGUCAUGGAUGUACAUGCAUGACAAAAAACCCGACCUACUAUGACAAACACGUAUCAUCACGGAAGUGUAUUUUUUUGUAGUGCCAACAACACCUACAAAGUACUUUUAGUUUCAUACUUGUUCUAGGUAAAGCGAACACUAAGCGUGCGUAGAGUCGUAUCAGUGGCAUAUAGGACUUGAGAGAAUAUUUGUUCUACCUUUAGCUCCUCGUUGGGUUCGACACUCUUACUUAUCGAAAGAGGCUACAAUUAUCCCGUAUACUUGCGGGUCAUCAAGACCUUUUUCUGGCGGCGUUGCUGGGGAGUCAUAGCGUGGGGUGAAUAUUCUCGUGUGUGCUUGUUUGCUUUAUCACUAAGUAAUUUUUAUUUGUUGUUAUAAGUUGUUCUCUAUCUUUAGUUAUGGAUAUGGAACACGAAAUACCAAAAAAAUUAGGUGUACUUGCUGCUCAUGGAGAUGGGGAACCUCCUAAAACCCUCGAUGCUGGUUAUGUGAAAGAUAUUAUGUACUACUUUGAUAAUCCUGAGAAAACCCCAUUCAAUUAUGUUAUGGGAGACACGUUGGAUCAACGUGAAUACUUUAGGGAUUAUCGCUUGACACAAAAAGGAAAACUAUUAUGGGAUCAAAUUCAUAUGUUGCGUUGGUAUGCUCGUCAACUAUGCUUGAUAUAUGAUUAUACUUGUUGCUCUAGGAUGAAGGCUCCACACCUUCCCUUUUCAUGCAAAUUUAAUAAUGAUAAAACCUUGGCUUCUUAUGCUAAUGGUAUCUAUGAUUACUAUGAUGUGGAACAAAUAGAAGAAUUUGUUGCUUUUAUGGGUGCUUAUGAGAUUGAAUCUAUGUUUAAAGCGUUUGACGAUUUUGAUGAUUCAGUUUAUAGACCUGAAAAUUUUGCUAUACUUAAAUAUUGUUAUGAGAAUUAUGAAUACAAUUACAAUAUUGAUGCAUUUAUUGAGAAAGUCUCCGCUGUCCAAGAAGAGACUAAUAUUUUGCAGGAAGCUAUGGAAGAAGAAAUUGAUGAAACUGUGAGCUCAUUGGAUGAAAAAGAUGAUGAGGAGAGUGAAGAACAAAAGAAGGAAGAGUGGAUUAGCUACCCGUGCCCACCUUCUAAUGAGAGUAACUCUUCAACUCAUACAUUGUUUAAUUCCCCUUUGUGCCUACCGAAGGAUGAUCGCUAUGAUCCCUUGAAUUCGUUUGAAAUAUCCCUUUUUGAUGAUGCUUGCUAUGAUUGUGGCCACGAUGCCAAUAUGAAUUAUGCUUAUGGAGAUGAACUUGCUAUAGUUCCUUAUGUUAAACAUGAAAUUGUUGUUGUUGCACCCACGCAUGAUAGUCCUAUUAUCUUUUUGAAUUCUCCAAACUACAGUAUAUCGGAGAAGUUUGUGCUUAGUAAGGAUUAUAUUGAUGGGUUGCGGUUUACUACUACACAUGAUGAUUUUGAUAGAUAUAAUAUGCAUGUGCUUUCUGCUCCUACUUGCAAUUAUUAUGAGAGAGGGACUAUAUCUCCACCUCUCUAUGUUUCCCACACAAUAAAAUUGCAAGAAACUAUUUACACUAUGCAUUGGCCUUUACUUGGUGUGCAUGAAUUGUUCUUUUAUGACAUGCCGAUGCAUAGGAAGAGAGUUAGACUUCGUUGUUGCAUGAUAUAUGUUACUUUGUGCUCACUACUAAAUUACAAAUCAUUGUUAAUUAAAAUUGGCUUUGAUAUACCUUGGGAUCCGGGUGGAUUCAUUACUUGAGCACUUUGUGCCUAGCUUAAUGGCUUUAAAGAAAACGUUGCCAGGGAGACAACCCAGAAGUUUCAGAGAGUCGUUUAUUUUUGUUGAGUGUUUUUAUAUAGUUUAAAAAUAAAAAAAUAAAGAGGGGAACCUAAAACUUUUUCAAAAAGGAAAGUGAAAGUGAGAGAGACAAGCAUUGUUGAAGUGGGAGAGCUCCUUGAACUUUGUUCAUGCUCACGGAAACUUUGUGAAUCUUGAUUACAGAAACUUUUCAACAUAAAUAAUUAUACCCUUGUACAAUUCCAUUGUAUUAUAAAAAUAAUGUGCUAAGGUUUGCCUUUAGGAUGUUUACAAUGCUUGUUGGUUUGUACGGUGUAGGACAGAAACUUUGGCUGUAGUGCGCGAUUUUACAUUUUUAACUGGAACAUCAAAUGGUUCUGAUUCCUUUUGAAAUGUCUUGCUGUACAAAUGUUUUAUUUUUCCUAAUUUUUGUAGAAUUUUUGGGGUACCAUAAGUAUGGUGAAUGUUCAGAUUGCUACAGACUGUUCUGUUUUUGACAGAUUCUGUUUUUGAUGCAUAGUUUGCUUAUUUUGAUUAAACUAUCAAUAUAUCAGUGGAUUAAGCCAUGGAAAAGUUAUAUUAUAGUAGAAACAAUGAAAAAACAAAAUAUUAAUUAGUUUUAUACAAUACUUAGAGUAGUGAUUUGCUUUAUUAUACUAACGGAUCUAACCGAGUUUUCUAUUGAAGUUUUGUGUGGAUGAAGUGUUUGAUCGAGGAGGUCUCGAUAUGAGGAAAAGGAAGAGAGGCAAGAGCUCAAGCUUGGGGAUGCCCGAGGCACCCCAAGUAAAUAUUCAAGGAGACUCAAGCGUCUAAGCUUGGGGAUGCUCCGGAAGGCAUCCCCUCUUUCUUCAACAAGUAUCGGUAUGUUUUCGGGUUCGUUUUGUUCAUGCAAUAUGUGCAAGUCUUGGAGCAUCUUUUGCAUUUAGUUUUCAUUUUUCUUUUAUGCACCAUGUUGGUAUGAGAUAGUCCUUGGUUGAUUUAUAGAAUGCUCUUUGCACUUCACUUAGAUCUUUUGAGUGUGGCUUUAUAGAAUGCUUCAUGUGCUUCACUUAUAUCAUUUGAAGUUUGGAUUGCCUGUUUCUCUUCACAUAGAAAAUCGCCAUUUGUAGAAUGCUCUUUUGCUUCACUUAUAUUUGUUAGAGCGUGGGCAUAUAUUUUGUAGAAAGAAUUAAACUCUCUUGCUUCACUUAUAUCUAUUUAGUGAGAUGACAGGAAUUGGUCAUUCACAUGGUUAGUCAUAAAAUCCUACAUAAACUUGUAGAUCGCUGAAUAUGAUUUGUUAGAUUCCUUGCAAUAGUUUUGCGAUAUAAAGAUGGUGAUAUUAAAGUCAUGCUAGUGGGUGGUUGUGGAUUGUAGAGACACUUGUGUUGAGGUUUGGAGGUCUCGUAGCAUGCACGUAUAGUAACCGUUGUGUGACAAAUUGGAAGCACGGGGUGUUUCUUUGUUUGUCUUCCUUAUGAGUGGCGGUCUGGGACGAGAGAUGGUCUUUUCCUACCAAUCUAUCCCCAUAGGGGCAUGCGUAGUAGUACUUUUCUUUGAGAGCUAAUGAACUUUUGCAAUAAGUAUAUGAGUUCUUUAUGACUAAUGUGAGUCCAUGGAUUAUACACACUUUUACCUUUUCAUCAUUGCUAUCCUCUUCGGUACCGUGCAUUGCCCUUUCUCACCUUGAGAGUUGGUGCAAACUUCGCCGGUGCAUCCAAACCCCGUGAUAUGAUACACUCUAUCACACAUAAGCCUCUUUAUAUCUUCCUCAAAACAGCCACCAUACCUACCUAUUAUGGCAUUUCCAUAUCCAUUCCAAGAUAUAUUGCCAUGCAACUUCCAUCAUCAUCAUAUGCAUGACUUGAGCAUUUAAUUUCAUAUUGCCUUGCAUGAUCGUAAGAUAUCUAGCAUGAUGUUUUCAUGGCUUGUCCGAUUUUUGAUGUCAUUGCUACACUAGAUCAUUGCACAUCCCGAUACCCCAUCGGAGGCAUUCAUAUAGAGUCAUAUCUUUGUUCUAGUAUCGAGUUGUAAGUAAAUAAAGUGUGAUGAUCAUCAUUAUAGAGCAUUGCCCCAUAAAAAAAGAGGCCAAAGAAGCCUAAAUAAAAAAAGGGGGCCAAAGAAGCCCACCAAAAAAAGAGAAAAGGGGCAAUGUUACUAUACUUUUACCACACUUGUGCUUCAGAGUAGCACCAUGUUCUUCAUAUAGACAGUCUCCUAUGUUAUCACUUUCAUAUACUAGUGGGAAUUUUCAUUAUAGAACAUGGGCUUCCUCAAAUGCCCUAGGUCUUCAUGAGCAAGCAAGUUGGAUGCACACCCACUUAGUUUUCAGUUUGAGCUUUCGCACACUUAUAGCUCUAGUGCAUCCGUUGCAUGGCAAUCCCUACUCCUCACAUUGACAUCAAUUGAUGGGCACCUCCAUAGCCCGUUGAUUAGCCGCAUCGAUGUGAGACUUUCUCCUUUUUUGUCUUCUCCACAUAAACCUCCUCCAUAAUAUUCUAUUCCACCUAUAGUGCUAUAUCCAUGGAUUGCGCUCAUGUAUUGCGUGAGGGUUGAAAAGGCUGAAGCGCGUUAAAAAGUAUGAACCAAUUGCUCGGCUUGUCAUCGGGGUUGUGCAUGAUGGGAGCAUUUUGUGUGACAAAAAUGAAGCAUGGCCAAACUAUAUGAUUUUGUAGGGAUAAGCUUGCUUUGGCCAUGUUGUUUUGAAAAGACAUGAUUGCUUUAUUCUUACGCUCAAAGUAUUAUCGUAUUUAUGUCAAAUGAUAGACUAUUGCUUUGAAUCACUCAUGUCUUAAUAUUCAUGCCAUGAUUAGACAUAUGAUCAAGAUUAUGCUAGGUAGCAUUCCACAUCAAAAAUUAUCUUUUUUAUCAUUUACCUGCUCGAGGACGAGCAUGAUUUAAGCUUGGGGAUGCUGAUACUUCUCCAUCGUAUCUAUAAUUUUUGAUUGUUCAAUGCCAAUAUUAUUCAACUUUCAUAUACUUUUGGCAACUUUUUAUACUAUUUUUGGGACUAACAUAUUGAUCCAGUGCCCAAUGCCAGUUCCUGUUUGUUGCAUGUUUUAUGUUUCACGGAAACCCAAUAUCAAAUGGAGUCCAAACGGGAUAAAAACGGACGGAGAAUUAUUUUGGAAUAUUUGUGAUUUUUGGGAGGAAGAACCAACGCGAGACGGUGCCCGAGGGGGCCACGAGACAGGGGGCGCGCCCCAGGGGGGCAGGCGCUCCCUGGGCCCUCGUGGGCACCCCGUAAGGCGGUUGACGCCCUUCUUUUUCCGCAAGAGAGCUAAUUUUAUGAGAAAAAUCUGGGCAAAAGAUUCACCCCAAUCGGAGUUACGCAUCUCCGGAUAUAAAAGAAAUGGUGAAGGGGCAGAAUCUGGGAACGCAGAAACAGAGAGGGACAGAGAGACAGAUCCAAUCUCGGAGGGGCUCUCGCCCCUCCCACGCCAUGGGAGCCAAGGACCAGAGGGGAAAUCCUUCUCCCAUCUAGGGAGAAGGUCAAGGAAGAAGACAAAGAAGGGGGGCUCUCUCCCCCUUGCUUCCGGUGGCGCCAGAACGCUGCCUUAGGGCCAUCAUCAUCACCGUGAUCUACACCAACACCUCCGCCAUCUUCACCAACAUCUCCAUCAUCUUCCCCCAUCUAUCUACAGCGGUCCACUCUCCCGCAACCCGCUGUACCCUCUACUUGAACAUGGUGCUUUAUGCUUCAUAUUAUAUCCAAUGAUGUGUUGCCAUCCUAUGAUGUCUGAGUAGAUUUUCGUUAUCCUAUCGGUGAUUGAUGAAUUGCUAUGAUUGGUUUGAGUUGUAUGUUUUAUUAUUGGUGCUGUCCUAUGGUGCUCUCCAUGUCGCGCAAGCGUGAGGGAUCCCCGCUAUAGGGUUUGCAAUAUGUUCAUGAUUUGCUUAUGGUGGGUGGCGUGAGUGAUAGAAGCACAAACCCGAGUAAGUAGGUUGUUUGCGUAUGGGAUAAAGGGGACUUGAUGCUUUAAUGCUAUGGUUGGGUUUUACCUUAAUGAUCUUUAGUAGUUGCGGAUGCUUGCUAGAGUUCCAAUCAUAAGUGCAUAUGAUCCAAGAAGAGAAAGUAUGUUAGAUUAUGCCUCUCCCUCAAAUAAAAUUGCAAUAGUGAUUAUCGGUCUAGUAACAUAGUCAAUUGCUUAGGGACAAUUUCACAACUCCUACCACAACUUUUCAACACUCGCUAUAUUUACUUUAUUGCAUCUUUAUCUAGACAGCCCCUAGUUUAUAUUUACGUAUUCUUUAUUAUCUUGCAAACUUAUCCAACAACACCUACAAAGUACUUCUAGUUUCAUACUUGUUCUAGGUAAAGCGAACACUAAGCAUGCGUGGAGUCGUAUCAGUGGUAGAUAGGACUUGAGAGAAUAUUUGUUCUACCUUUAGCUCCUCGUUGGGUUCGACACUCUUACUUAUCGAAAGAGGCUACAAUUAUCAUGUAUACUUGUGGGUCAUCAUGUUGCUGUCUGAGAUAUCUCAUUACUACUCUCUAGUUGAUUAUGUCAUUGAAAUAACUUUAAGAGUUAUUGUCGACAUGGUUAGUUAUAAUCUUUGCUGAAAACCUGGGUGCUGCUUAAGCUUAUUUAUGAAACAAGAGCAAAAGAGUUCGUAAAAGUUUAUCUUUUUCACUUUCAGUUUAUCAACUGAACUGCUUAAGGAUAAGCAAAGGUUUAAUCUUGGGGGAGUUGAUACGUCUCCAACGUAUCUACUUUUCCUAACGCUUUUCCUCUUGUUUUAGACUCUAAUUUGCAUGAUUUGAAUGAAACUAACCCGGACUGACGUUGUUUUCAGCAUAACUACCAUGGUGUUGUUUUUGUGCAGAAAUAAAAGUUCUCAGAACGGAACAAAACUUUGCGAGGAUUUUUUAUAUUAAUAAAGAAAAUUUCUGGAGCCAAGAGCCACCUGAGGGGGGCACCUGGGUGGGCACAACCCACCAGAGCGCGCCUGCCCCCCAGGCGCGCCCCGGUGGGUUUUCCCCACCUGGUGGCCCCGCUGACCGUGAAACCGACGCUAUAAAAUCACAUUAUUUCAGAAAAAAUAAGGGAGAAAGAAUAAUCCCGUUAACAAGACAGAGCCGCCACCGUCUCCUGUUCUUCGUUGGGAGGCCAGUUCUGGAGUCCGUUUGGGGCUCCGGAGAGGGGGAUCUUCGAUCUUCAUCAUCACCAACACAUCUCCAUCGCCAAUUGCAUGAUGCUCCCCACCAGGAGUGAGUAAUUCCUUCAUAGGCUCGUUGGUCGGCGAGGAGUUGGAUGAGAUUCAUCAUGUAAUCGAGUUAGUUUUGUUAGGGCGUGAUCCCCAGUAUCCACUAUGUUCUGAGAUUGAUAUUGCUAUGACUUUACCACCAUUGUAUCCAUGUUCUAGAUCCGAUCUUGCAAGUUAUAGUCACCUACUAAGUGUUAUGAUCUGGCAACCCCGGAGUGACAACAGUCGGGAUUACUCCCGGUGAUGACCAUAGUUUGAGGAGUUCAUGUAUUCACCAUGUGUUAAUGCUUUGUUCCGGUUAUCUAUUAAAAGGAGGCCUUAAUAUCCCUUAGUUUCCAAUAGGACCCCGCUGCCAUAGGAGGGUAGGAUAAAAGAUGUCAUGCAAGUUCUUUCCAUAAGCACAUAUGACUAUUUGCGCAAUACAUGCCUACAUUAUAUUUAUGAACUAGAGCUAGUGCCGUAUCGCCCUAGGUUAUGACUGUCUCAUGAUGAAUAUCAUCCAACAAGUCACCAAUCCAAUGCCUACAAAUUUAUCUUAUAUUGUUCUUGCUAAGUUACUAAUGUUGCUACUGCUAUCGUUACUGCUACAAUACCACUACUAUCACUGUUACCAUUACUGUUGCUGCUACCAUUACUAUCAAAACUAUCAUAUUACUAUGCUACUGAUCACUCUAUUGCAGAUAAUUAAUCUCCAGGUGUUGUUGAAUUUACAACUCAGGUGCUAAUACCUUCAAAUAUUCCUUGGCUCCCCUUGUGUCGUAUCUAUAAAUUUGGGUUGAAUACUCUACCCUCGAAAACUGUUGCGAUCCCCUAUACUUGUGGGUUAUCACUAAUUUUCUCAAUCUUGAAAAGCUCUUUCAAGCUUGGUAAGUUUGCUGAGAAAAGGACACUCAUAUUUGCAUAGUCUUCGAUUACUACAGAAUCUGCCAGUUUUUUUAGUAGCGCUGAUGUUGUGAUGUCCAAUGAGUUUGUUUGAGGCAAGACAGAAGGUAUUGGAAAAUUCAUUAAAUCAUUUGAACUUGUAUCGAAAUUAGAUUUGUCUUCGAUCUUUGGGGGAGCGAACUCUUUUGUAGGACAAGAGAUUAGCAGUUUGGAAGUUGCUGAUUCCUUUCUAGUUGUAGAAUAAUUCUCCUUCAUUGAGAGUUCACAUCAUCAAUAUAUGCUCAAAGUGUUGGAAUGGAGUUUGUAACAAGCGUUUCCCAAAACUUUUGGCUGCUAGAUUCAAGAACUGUUUUCUCCUGUAUUCAUAGAAAGAAGGACAAAAAUCAGUAAAAAUAGUUUGGGUAAUACUCGAGGGUAGAGAAGAAUAGAGGUUGGACAGGUGAAGUGGUCUGCAGAAGACACGUACUUUAACUUGUCCGAGCAAUGGGAUCAAAGAGGAACAAUAUGGUCGAAACCACAGUUGCAAAGGACCACAUAUAGAUAACAGAUGAACUUAUCACAAGGGAUUAUUAUUAUAACCAGAAGCUUCCAUGAUAAGUUCCACAUCAGGUCCAUGGGCAUGAACACAAAGGUUCAAGGUCGACUCCCACUUCUCUAAUGCACAACUUUCCAUUCACUUCUUGCAUUCGAAGAAGUUGUAACGUUGAAAUUUUACCUGAUGAAAAGCCACUAGAGUGUAACCCGCAUAACUUUCGAGUUCACACGGAUUUAGGGAAGACAUAGAUUCAACCCAUCGGGGCAUCUUAGGAGCAUAUACCACGAACUUAGGAAUAAAUAACUCAAGCUCGGAAGCAGAGCAUGAUUGACAAAAGCAGGGGAUACAAUUUACCAACGGCAUUAUGUAUCCAAGGAAAAGCUCACAAAGUUACAGAAAAAGAAGGACAUUGUCGGAUAGAACCCAACAAAGGACCUGGUGGUCCACGAGGGAUCUGAUGUGAGCAAUGGUACUCAACCAGAAGAAGAAAGGAUGCAAGGAGAUCAGGUUAUAGAAACAACUAACUAAUUCAAAGCUCAACGCAACGGAAUUAUGAUUUCCAAUUCAAGGGAUCAGAAGCAGAGGCUUUGAUCAAAGACAAGUUGGAUAGACAUAGAUCGAUAAUCAAUCAAGGUUUGAUUUGCCGAACAGCAGCUCACGUCUGGAGUGACAUCUGAGCCAAGGGAAGAAUUCUAAUUAGGACCGAUGAUCGUGAGCAUUCACGAACUUAUCAAACCAAAUGCUUGAAAUUAUGAUGACAAGGAUGCUAAUGAGUAUUGCUAGACAUAUGGAAGUAACCAUAAUGCAAGCCGUUAAGGAGGAACACGAGUAAUGGGCUAUUUGAGCAUUUUCGGAAGAUCAAAUAGUUUUUCAGGGCAUCUUGUAAUAACAAGAGCAAUUGGGGAUGAAGGUAUGAAUGGCAAUGUAGGUAGUUACCCAUAAGGAUUUAUCGGUGGUAGGGAUCGCAACAGCGAAGGGCACAAGGGUCUCUAGAAAACUUCGGAGAAAGGGCACAAGGGCACAAGGGUAUCUUCAGAAUCUUCUGGUGCACCAAGCAAUCAUCUGGAGUGAGGGGCUCUUCAGGAGAAAGUAUUUUCGAGAACCUAGAGUUAGAGUUAACAAACUCAUUUAACCCAAAUAGAAGAGAGAUUAGAGUCCCAGAGUAUAGACGAGGAAUAAAAGAUCAUAAUACCACCCAAUGGCAACAUGGGCCCGUAAGCCACACAACCAUGUUAUUAAAACAAUUUUUCAAAGUCUAGACUCAACUUCGGCCAAGGAGUUGGAAAGGGGGAUCCUACAGGUAGUCAGCUCUGACACCAACUUGUGACGCCCCCGAUUCAAUCGUACACUAAUCAUACACGCAAAUGUGUAUGAUCAAGAUCAAGGACUCACGGGAAGAUAUCACAACACAACUCUAGACACAAAUAAAAUAAUACAAGCUUCAUAUUACAAGCCAGGGGCCUCGAAGGCUCGAAUACAUAGCUCGAUACACAAGAGUCAGCGGAAGCAACAAUAUUUGAGGACAGACAUAAGUUAAACAAAGAUGCCUUAAGAGGCUAGAACAAAAGCAACAAUGAUCUAAGAGGCAAGGCCUCCUGCCUGGGACCUCCUAACUACUCCUGGUCGUCGGCGGUCUCCACGUAGCAGUACCCGUCGGCGGUGGCAUCUGGCUCCAGGGAUCCACCAUCUAGUUGCAUCAACCGGAAAUAAGAAAGAAGGGGGAAAAGGGGGUAGCAAAGCAACCGUGAGUACUCAUCCAAAGUACUCGCAAGCAUCAGAUCUAUACUAUGUAUGCAUUGUUAUCAAAUGGAAGGGUUGUAUCUGUGGAUUGAACUACAGAAUGCCAGAAUAGAGGGGGAAGGCCUAGCCUAUCGAAGACUAGCAUCUUCAAGUAGCUCCAAGCAUCUUGCAGCAUGUAGAAGAGUAAAGAAUAGCAGUUUAUAAUUAUCAAACAUGUUGUAAUAUUAAUGCCCAAAGAUCCUUCCUCGACUCCCAACGAGAAAGCAAUCCCGGAGCCACAUAUCCAUCACAUAUCUCAAGUAUCCAUUUCUCAUUAUAUAAGAUCAGGAUAUAAGUCUGAACAUGCAUUACCGUGGACACGGUAUUCAAAUAUAUAUCUUCCCUGCAGGGGUGCACCACAUUACCCAAUACACACGAUCACUCUGACCAGACACACCUUUCUGGGGUCAAUGCCCGACCUCGGAAGAUCAACAUGUCGCAGCCCUACCUAGGCUCAGUAGAGAGGUCCUCGCCGGUCUACAUCCUAAGCAGCCCGGGGUCUGAGCCCAUCACCCGUUGCACUCUGGUUCAUUGCGAGCAGGGCGGACCAGGCUCCACCAUUACACGAUGGUGCCGGCCCAGCCGUGCCGCACUGCUGAAAUGGACGUCUGACAAAGCUUCGGCUGAUAUCACGACAUUGAGACCCGUAUCUAUUCUCGCAUGCUGGUUAGUGCGUAAAGGCCAGAGGCCAACUCAGAACAAAUACCCAAACCUCUUAGUGCAUUGGGGGCUCGCGGAAACAAGUAGAGACUCACGAUAAUGUGACCCCAUCGCCCCGUCUCGUGGACUUACGGCAAGGGCCCAGACUUCCCGGACGUGCCACGUGGAAAACUCACGGGUGCUCAACGGGCCCGCCCGACUUUCACAUCAAGUCGCGGGUACCCCUCAGGGCCGACCCGACUCCAACAAUGGUCUCAAGUAAAGUCAAGGUAAUUGUGUGUCCAGACAUCAAUGGGAAAACCCGAGGAAUCACCCCCGGUGGAUUCUACUCAAUGUAAUCAUCAAGGUGAACGUAAGAGGGACCACCCUCGAGGUUCACACUUGAGGUGUUGAACGAUAGAGCCGUAUCAGGAAUGGUGAAAGAGGAAAUCACCCUUGAGGGAGUCCUGGACUAGGGGGUGUCCGAAUAGCCGAACUAUCAUCAUUGGCCGGACUCCAAGACUAUGAAGAUAGAAGAUUGAAGACUUCGUCCCGUGUCCGGAGGGGACUUUCCUUUGCGUGGAAGGCAAGCUUGGCAAUAAGGAUAUGUAGAUCUCCUACCAUUGUAACCGACUCUGUGUAACCCUAGCCCUCUCCGGUGUCUAUAUAAACCGGAGGGUUUUAGUCCAUAGGACGAACAACAAUCAUACCAUAGGCUAGCUUCUAGGCUAUGCAUCAGAAUAGGAGCAAACAAUAACAGUAGCAAAACCUAAUGCAAGCAUGAGAGUAUAGAAUGGGCGAUAUCGGGAUGAUCAAAGGGGGGGCUUGCCUAGUUGCUUAGACAAGAAGGAGGGUCGUCGGUGACGUAGUCGAUCACAGUGGCAUCAGCAGCGGUCUCAGGGUCUACCGGAGAGAAGAGGGGGAAGAAACAGUAAAUACACGCAAACAUAUGCAUAACAUGACAAUAAGCGAUGCUAGAGGUGUUCUAACGCAGAGUUACACGAUACCGGUGAUGGGGGACAACAUCCGGGAAAGUUUUCCCGGUUCUGGACGUCUGUCAAACACAUGAACCAAAGGAGAAAUGUUGCAUGUUCGCUCUGCUAGGGACGUGUGGCGGACGAACGGACCGCGUGUAUAAAACUUUCAUGUAUAAAACUUUUUCAUCUGAGCAACUUUCAUGUAUAGAACUUUUUCAUCUAAGCUACGGUUUAUUUUCUAUGUUUUUUCAAAGAUUUAAACAUUAUUUUGGAAUUUAAUUUAAUUCAAAAAUAAAUAACAAAAUGCUACGUGUACCCAACUCUAUGUACACAGAAGUGUACCAGAGCUGAUAUGUGGGCCAGGGGGUCCCAGUUGACCAGUCAACGUUUGACUGGUCAACAAGGGGUGGGGCCCCCUGUCGUACACUGGCUAGUCUAGUCUAAUAGGUUAGUUAACUAAGCUAGGUGGUUAGUCUAAUUAAGUUUAAUUUAUUAAGUUAAUUAAGCAUUUAGCUAAUUAAUUAAUUAUUUUUAUAAUAAAUAUAUUUUUUACAUUUCUUUAAAAAAAACAGGGGCGUGGGGCCUCGCUGUCAUAACCCCAGGAGCCUAGUGGGCGAAGGGCGUCACGGUGCAGGCAUGGCCCGAACGGCCACGGAAGAGGCGAACGUGCCAGGGCGCUGGCGCUGGACGCAGGAGGUGGCCACGGGGAUCACCGGCGGUGCGGUGGGGCGACAGAGAAGGCGGCGCGAGGCGAGCAGGCGCCGCGCGGGGGCAGGGACGAGGCCAGGUGCGAGGCCGUGGGGAAGCAGCUGCUGCACAGCAGUACGCGGAUGAGCGCACACGCGCGGACGAGCCGAGUACGACCCUGGGCGACAGCACGCGCAUGUGGGAAGAAGGGGGAUUCGAGGAGGGGCUCACGAAGAUCCGGUAGGGCAGGUCAGUGGGCUCGGGGAGGCGCUGAUGAUGGCAAAUCGAUGACAACGAGCUUCGGCGACCAACGGUGAAGACGAAGAUGGUGACGACGAUGGGGCGGCUCCCCCAGCUUGAUCUGGGCCCGAAGCCACCGUAGACGAGGACGGCGGUCCUCCUCGACACCAGCGGACGGCGAACUGGCGCCAAUGUACAUGGUGGUUCGCGGUGGCGUGCUCCUGUACGUGGCUAGUAGCUCGAUCUAGAGCGAGGGAGAGGUGAGGAAGAGGGGGAAAACAACUAGGGUUCGACAGAAGGGGAGGGUCGACGAUGUUUUGUAGUGUGCCGAGUGUGUCGGAUGGCCGCCACGCAAGGCAUGGCGUGGCCAUGGCCUACAAAUGGCCGCCACGAUCCCCUUCUCUGCUCCUGUAGCGAGGGGGGAGAUGAGUGGGGUGUGGGUUGGGCCUCCCAGUAGACUUAGGGCCCAAUUACACAUUAGGUAGGCUUUUUGUUCUCUCAUUUUUUUUCAAAUAAGUAGCUAUUGUUUGCAUUUAUUUGAGUGAGCAAACAAUCCUUGUUAUAGAUGGAACUCCACACAUAAGUAUAUGUCAUUACUCUGGAGAGGCCCAUAAAGUUUCAAGUCGAUUUCAAAUUCAUAAACAUUUAUUUGUUUUGAAAACCCAAGAUAUUUGUUGUAGGACCACUCAUAAAUUUACUAGGAAUUUAUUGGUGAGUCAAAUGAAGUUGGUUUCAACAUGACAACGAUUAGGGGAAUUUAUAGAAUUAUUCAAACAUUUUAGUUUUGACAUUUAAAAACUUUUAUUGUUUAGCUUGAUUUUGAAUUUUAAAAACGAACGGGAUUUGAAUCAUCACGAUAGUAACAACAGUAACCAUUGUGACGUGGUAUCAUUAGUAGAGGUUACUGUAGCUUGAUUAUCGGGGCGUCACAAUUCUCCUCCACUACAAGAAAUCUCGUCCCGAGAUUUAAGUGGUGGAGUAAAGGGGAAAGACUCGGGAAGGACGGAGCUCAACACAAGAUAGGUACCUGGGGGCUAUCUCAGUGAAUGUGGCAUAGAGGCGUCUCUCGGGUUGAAAUUCAAGAAAGUCAUCGAGAGCAAGGUAAGAAGUUGCAAUAAAAAGCUUCAAUUGGGUAAGCAAUCAUUCGUUGCCUGAAACAACGGGUGAAAGGGGUUUAGAGUAAUGGGAAUAAGUAUUGGGUCUGAAACCAAAGUAGCUCACUAGGAAGGUGGCUCGUGAAUUACAUACGAAGCCAAGCGUGAGGAACAAUUUUGGAAGACAGGGAUAUACAGGAGACUCAGGUUUUGAUCCUAUGGAACUGUGGGUUAUGGGCCCACCAUGUGGAACAAAAAUUAGAAGGGUGAUGUCAUCUUGCAUGAUCUUGAUAGCAAGGCAUGUCAGACAAUAACCUGUCAGUUAUGUCGGCAACAACAUCGGUACAAAGGGCGAGGGACGAAGAUAACCAUUUUCCCUGCUCGUUAAGACGAGGCGGACCAAUAGGCAAAGUUCUCGUCCAUUGGUGGCUACCAGAAUGUCAUCAACAAUAGUAACAAGGUCUUACUGACAGAGUUGUACACCGAGGUGUUUACAUAAGCAGGGUAUUAUCACUGCUCAGAUAUGUUAGGUUACAAGAAAGGUUAAACAAAGCAAUGGAUACUUGAACCAGUUAUCGGUGUUCUCGAGUGUCUAACAACUCCGAACCCGUGGAAACUUUGAAUCGGGGAGAAAUAAUAGUUGAGGAAGAACUCAUAAGAAGUUAUGUAGUUCCGUGAUAUUCUCGAGAUACAGGAGGGUAAUACUCGAGGGUAGAGAAGAAUAGAGGUUGGACAGGUGAAGUGGCCUGCAGAAGACACGUACUUUAACUUGUCCGAGAAAUGGGAUCAAAGAAGAACAAUAUGGUCGAAACCACAGUUGCAAAGGACCAAAUAUAGAUAACAGAUGAACUUCUCACAAGGGAUUAUUAUUAUAACAAGAAGCUUCCAUGAUAAGUUCCACAUCAGGUCCAUGAGCAUGAACACAAAGGUUCAAGGUCGACUCCCACUUCUCUAAUGCACAACUUUCCAUUCACUUCUCGCACUCGAAGAAGUUGUAACGUUGAAAUUUUACCUGACGAAAAACCAGUAGAGUGUGUUGGUGUACAAAAGUAGGGGUUCUCCUUUUGACCCCUUUACUUGUGCACGGGCAGUCAUAGCCUCCCACCACGACCACGCAUAACAGGACGGGAAAGGGAAGCCGGAGAGAGGCCGAAGCCACAAGACAAACGAAGCAAUAACAAGGACCAAGGCCACAAAGAUCAAAUGGGCGAAGAGGGUUUCCCCGGCAAGGGCCCCUGCCGGGGGCAGCCUCAGCAGCCCCGGCAAGACCCUUGCCGGGGCAGCCCGCCCACGCCAGCCGAAGUGAGCCACCCUUGAGCCCACCAACGCCCGACAAACGCAUUGGGACAGGGCUCGGGAGGCACCUCUGUGGUGGCAUGCAGAUCUUUGUGAAGACAAAGAAUAGACAAGAUCAAAAGAGGAUAGGAAGGCAACCAUCCUCACCGAGGAAACCCACAAGACCCCCAGCAAGAUCCUUGCUGGGGGCGCCUACGCGCCACGGCAAGACCAUUGCCGGGCCACCCGGCAAGACCCUUGUCGGGCCACCCAACAAGGCCCUCGCCAAGUGCACCAGCAGGGCCACCGCUAGGCCCGCACAAGCCAAGUCACCGCCGGUGUUCGCAUGUAGCCGCCGACCCAACUAGCUGGGCAGGCGCAUGCGUGGCAACAUGCAACCCUUCAUAGAGACUCCACCACCGCGCCACCUCAGCUGCCUGCCUGCCUACAUGGCACCGCAUGCGUCGCUGGCCAGGGCGCGUGUCGAAGCCUGUAGGAGCAGCGAUAGACGGGACGGGCCUCGCCCCCGUCCCUGAUAAAGUGAAGGGACACCUAAGCCUUGCAUUUAAUGCGUCUUGUCCUGUAAUACGAGCAAUAAGCUCGCAAUGUUGUAGCACUUUCCACCUUCUGUGUGCCACUGUGGCAGCCCCUUUUACCUAUAAAAGGAGGCCCAUGGCAUACGGGCAAAGGAUUCGGCUGUUUUGAACCUCACAGCACCCAGAGCUAGUUCGAGAGCUCAAGAACACUAAUACAUCCACCAAAGCAGGAUCGUAGGGUUUUACGCAUCUUUGCGGCCCGAACCUAGGUAAAUCCUCCUCGUGUUGCCUGCUAGUCCCGCUCUUCUCACGAUCCCCGCGCCCCGCAACCGUAGAAGUGAUCCCAGUGACCCCAUAGGUGUCGUUUCCCACCGACAUCUUUGGCGCGCCAGGUAGGGGGCGCGCAAUUGUGAGAAUCUGGCUUAGCAGUCGACCUGGUUGCUCUUCAUCGCCACGGCUCCUGCGGAGAAGGCGACACUACCCAUUGGCAGGAAGGACACCGAGGCGGCGACGAGAGAGCUAAGUCAUGCUGAAUUUCAAGUUUUUCUCCUUAAAUAUAAGGUUAUUGUCCUCGACGGUUCGGCCUAUGUAUGGGAAGCCUAUACGCAGAUGGGCCCUCCUGCGAUCACAACGCCCUUGUUCUGUUUCGAGUCCUCUCAACAGUUCAAGUGGCCGCAUCGAGAGCGGUGGGGUAGCCUUUAGCCAUCGGCAACGCUCUCGGUUCUGACUCGAGUCAAGUUCGACAGAUCGAGCGGCCGCGCCAAGGGCGGUAAGGUGCUUUGCCCGGCAACAAGCACACCCGGCAGGGUAAUGAGGAUCCGUCCUCAAAGCGUCGCCCUGGGUUUACGUGCCGACAAGCUUACCUAGUUGGCGUGGGGUGGACAUACAAAGGAAAAUCAAACAGGAAAAUAACAUGCAUAGUUUCAGGAGCACUGCAGAGUUAUGUUACACAAAUUGCCGCCGCGGUUCUAACUAAAGAUAGCAUUGUCUUGGUCAUGAACCUGCAGCGGUGAUGGAGAACGGGACGCCUAGUCCCGGCACUGGCCCUCCACCCUCUUGAUUUGUUGAUGCAGCUGAGGAUGGGCUGGAUAUGCUCAUUGAGCACCGUGAUGUCGGCAUCCUUCGGCAAGCUCUUCAGCACAGCUCCAAAGUCAAGGUCGGGGUGCCAGUGCGCGAUCUUGGUAAGCACCCUGGUCAUGGUCCCCCGACAGAGUAUCUGGGAUUCCUUGGCUAGGGAGGCCACCCGGUUGGAGUGAAGCCGCUUCAGGGCGCCGACGACCUUCUCGAAGUAUAUGGUCAGGCUGGCGUUGGGGCUCAGGCUCGCUUCAGGGGCGUACCCCAUCUCCGACAUCCCCAUAAUGGCCAGCUGAUCAGCGGUCGAGUUUGCAACGGCAGCAAGGCGCCUGAGCCAGCGUUUCUCGCCUGCCUUGUAGUCCUUGAGAUUGGCGGUCUUGUUCAUUAGCAGCUGCUUCUCUGUCUCCAGCUCUUUGGUCAGGAUCCCCUCCCGGGUCAUGGCCCCCGACAGCGUCUCCUAGAACUCUCCCAGCUUCAGCUUGAGAUCUUUGAUGGAGAUGUUGGCCUCGGAGAGCUCUCCAGACUUGCUGAUGACCUCGCCCUGCGCCACCAUCAGGGCGUCGUUGAGCGUAUGCUUCUCUUGGGCCAGCUUCAGAGCUUGCUCCUCCAGCUCCUUCACCUUGCCGGCGUGAGCCUCAGCCAUGGCGUUGAGGGCCUCCUGAUGCCUCCGCUCCAGCUCUUGGGUCCGCUGCAGGACGAGCUUGUCCACCUCUUCGUCCUUGCCGUGGAGCGUGGUGGCAAGAUUCUCCUCGCGCUCGGCAAGAUCCUCCUCGUGGUCUUCAGGGCGACCUCAUGCUGGGACCGGACGGCUUCGACUUUGGCUUCGUCAGCCAACUUCUUCGCCGUCUCCUGGGCCUUCUCGAUGUCGGCUAGCUUCAGGGCAAGCUCCACCUCAUGGUUGGCCAGCUCGCCCUGGGCGGCCUUUAGCUCGACCUGAGCCUGGCGGAACCAGUCUUGCGCCUCGGCGACGCGCCCUUCAAAGUCCGCCUCUUCCUUCUCCACCAUCGCCGUCCUAGACUUGGCCUUGUCCAGACGGGCGCGGUGGAGCGCCUGGAGCUUCCGAAAGCUGGCGCCCAUGUCCUGGAGCAGCUGCUCCUCCUGGGAGCCGGCGCCACCAAUGCCCGGCUCGUCAACAACCUCGAGCCCGGCCACGGCAAGCACCUCCUCGUCGAACACCUCUCCCUCAAAGGGGGCCCUGGUGCUCGACGCGCCAAGGAGAUGAACGAAGAGGUCGUCGCUCACCCUCAGGUACCUGCCGGAGCCAGAGGCCACGGAGGAGGAGGGCAGGUCAUCAAACACCACCUCCUCGGCAGUGGCCUUGCCGACUCCCUCGGCAGGCCCCUUGCCGGGCUCUUCGGCGGGCCCCUUGGCGGCGUCCUCGGUGGCACCCCUGGCGCUCUCCUCGGCAGCAAUCUUCUCCGCCUCCUCCGCGGCGACGUCCUUGAUGGUGGUAUCGACGUCCUCUGAGGAGGGGUCCGGACGCCAAGAAAGAGACAAGGCAGAGCAAAGAUCGAAAGUCAAUAAGAAAAAAAGAGGGGGAAUGCAAGCAGAAGUGGAGAGCAAGUGGCUUACUCAUGCCGGGCUGUGAGGCAGGAGUUCCUUCUCCGCCAAGGUCUGGCGUCGAGGCGAAGCCGCCAGCGCCUGUGUUCUCCCACUCCUCUUCCGUGCGCAUGGCCUCGGUGCUUGGUGCCCUUGCCGGGGACGCCCCUUGGGGCGGCACAGUCGACGGGAGCGACACGAUUGGAGGAGUCCUCUGCGGCUCCCCUUGGUGUUGCUCCCCUCCUACAUCCACGGGAGGGUCAGUACCAAAGCAUCAUGCAUUGCGCACGUUGACAAGGGAUGGUCGAUGGACUUACGUUGGGGGCUGGGCUGGGGGCUGCUGUUCGGGCUGCUCGAUACCACCAGUGGCAUACUGGAGGUGCCUGCCGGGGGCUGGCCACUCGCCGAAAUCCUGGCCCUCUUGAUCCUUUGGGCCAGCGUCUCCACAUCCCUGCAAGGUGUAGACAAAUGAGCAAUGUCAUCAGGGGAGGUGUGAGGAAUGAGGGAGGAAAGCAGAGGCUUACUCUUUGUUCUCUUCCUCCUCCUCCUCUUUUGCUUUCCUCUUCCGCUACGGGCUGAGAGGCCCGAGCUCUUUCUCUGGGCUGAGAGGCCCGAAAUCAAACAAGUCACCUCCAAUCCCCACGCCGAUGUUUGCCGGCGAGGGGGGAGGCGAUGGCGUCCGGGCGCGCUUGGACGACAAAGAGGCAGAUGCCUUCUUCUUUGGUGCCACGGCUUUCGCCGUUCUCUUCAUCGCCACCACCCUCGUCUAGCGCAUGGACGCUUCCUGGGUUUGCCGCGGCUACACGGCCCGGCCGAGACAGAUCGGCUCGCCGGAGGUGGCCCGCUACAGGACCCGCCUUUUUCCGGUGAUCGGAGGGUCAGCGGUCGUGGCCCUCUCCUCCUCGCCCUCCUCCUCCGACGACCCGUCAACGGCGUCCUCAAUGGGGGGAGCCCCAGUGUCGGUGCCGCUGGCCUCCCCAGCGGCUGCAUCCCACCGGGCGAGCUCCCCCUCCCCCGCCUCCGCCGCGGCCUUGUCCACCACGCCGCCGGUGCUGCCAGCCUCCUUGACGAGCUUUGCCUCCUCCUCGGCAAGCCUCGCCUCCUCCACCCUGGCGGCGAUAUAAUCCAGCUCCGUCGGAGAGGUGUCCUGGAUGAGCCACGACUCGUCGGUGAUGUAUAUCUCGUGCAGGGUGUCGAAGAACUCUUGCACCACGAGCUUGUCCGGCUCAACCCAGUUCGGGUCAAGGCCAUGCGCGUUGAAGAGCGACAUCAUGGCAAUGAUCUCGUUUUGGCGAGAGUUGUUGCUCAGUGGGAGCACUCCCGCCGGCAGCUUGAAAACGGGCUCCUUGUCGACCUUGCCGGCCUUUGCGGUGGCCCUGUCAAGCUUGCCGGACCGCUCGACCUCGCCCACGUCAUCAACCUCAAGCUGGAAGAUUCGCUGGCAAAGGUGGGCGUGCCGCAGCACCGUCAGGUUGUUGUCGAGGCCGGGAUGAAGCCUGAUGAUAUCGGCAGCGUUCACGAAGAGCCAGGCCGGCCUCCCCUUGUCGUGUAGAGGGGCGAUCUGGUGGCGGAUGAAGUCCGCCCCGAUCAUCUCGAGGGUGAGCCCGGCCUGGGUAAGCAGAAGAAUCCUGGUGGUGGCGAUCGUGAGCUUCGCGUCAUCGGCGUCGACGUCGCCCCAAUCGCCGCCACAGACUGGCUGCUUCUGGCGAACCUCGCAGAACGCUGGCGGGUCCUUCUCCUCAAUCCAGCACCACUGGCCCCGCCAUUCUUCCCACCUCUCCUUUGUGGCGCCAUCCGGGUACGCCCACUUGGCCCUCAGGAUCCAGGCGAUGCAGCCAGCAAUGGCGCCCCCUUUCUGGAUCCGAGGGGAGAAGUAAUGGCGGAAGAGCGCCAUGCUGGGAUGCACCCCGAUGAGGCCCUCGCAGAGAUGGGCGAAGAGGGCCAUGCAUGCCGCGGCAUUCGGAGUAAAAUCCAGGAGGCGGAAGCCAUAGGUGUGCAUGAUGUCCUUGAAGAAAUCAGAGAAGGGGGGACAGAGCCCGCAAGAGAAAUAGUCGACGAAGAAGGGGUACCAAUGCGGGGAGGUCCCGGCGCUGGCAGGGACGACGAUCGUGGCCGGAUGCCCCGUCUUCUCUCCUCCCGUCUUCACGCCCCACAAACACUUGAACAUCUCCCGGAGCUCGGGCACGCCAACCGUCGAGGGGAAGUAGGUGGACUGCGCCCUCCGCGCCACUAGCUCGCUCUCCGGCUGCUCCGACACGUCGGCAUCCUUCACCGCUCCCUUGCUCUUGGUGGACUUAGGCGCCAUGGCGGCUGCGGGAGGCGAAAAAGCAGAGGAUGUCUGAAUCACGGCGGCGAUGGGCGAAAGCAGAGAGGCUCGUGAAGAAGGGGGCGGCGGUUUUGAGAUUGGAGGAGGGCGCGGGGGAGGGGUAAAGUGAGCAGCGCGCCCGCGGUUAUUCCUUUUUAUGGGGAAGGUGCGGGCCACCUCCUUUCCCAUUAACUGCGAUAUGACGCAUGCGUGCAAGCGUUGUCCCACGCAUGCCUCCCACGUCAUGCGCACACACGACCCCACGUUGUGUUCAACGCGGGUCGUGGGGAAGCACAGCGGACGGAACAGUGGCCGCAGUAAAAACGCGCCCCAAACUGCCCGCGCACCGUUCUGGGCCUGGCCCAACAACGUGCUGCGCUUAUGUAUGGCCCAGGCCUGGGGGCUCCUGUCAGUGUACAAAAGUAGGGGUUCUCCUUUUGACCCCUUUACUUGUGCACGGGCAGUCAGAGCCUCCCGCCAUGGCCACGCAUAACAGGACGGGAAACGGAAGCCGAAGCCACAAGACAAACGAAGCAAUAACAAGGAUCAAGGCCACAAAGAUCAAAUGGGCGAAGCGGGUUUCCUCGGCAAGGACCCCUGCUGGGGGCAGCCUCAGCAGCCCCAGCAAGACCCUUGCCGGGGCAGCCCGCCCACGCCAGCCAAAGCGAGCCACCCUUGAGCCCGCCAACGCCCGACAAACGCAUUGGGACAGGGCUCAGGAGGCUCCUCUGUGGUGGCAUGCAGAUCUUUGUGAAGACAAAGAAUAGACAAGAUCAAAAGAGGAUAGGAAGGCAACCAUCCUCACCGAAGAAACCCACAAGACCCCCGGCAAGAUCCUUGCCGGGGGCGCCUGCGCGCCACGGCAAGACCCUUGCCGGGCCACACGGCAAGGCCGUUGCCAAGCACACCAGCAGGGACACCACCAGGCCCGCACAAGCCAAGUCACCGCCGCCGUUAGCAUGCAGCCGCCGUCCCAACCAGCUGGGCAGGCGCCUGCAUGGCAACAUGCAACCCUUCGUAGAGACUCCACCACCGCGCCACCUCAGCUGCCUGCCUGCCUACAUUGCAUCGCAUGCGUCGCUGGCCAGGGCGCGUGUCGAAGCCUGAAGGAGCGGCGACGGACGUGGCGGGCCUCACCCCCGUCCCCGAUAAAGUGAAGGGACACCUAAGCCUUGCAUUUAAUGCGUCUUGUACUGUAAUAUGAGCGAUAAGCUCGCAACGCUGUAGCACUUUCCACCUCCUGUGUGUCACUGUGGCAGCCCCUUUCGCCUAUAAAAGGAGGCCCAUGGCAUACGGGGAAAGGAUUCGGCUCUUUCGAACCUCACAGCACCCAGAGCUAGUUCGAGAGCUCAAGAACACUAAUACAUCCACCAAAGCAGGACCGUAGGGUUUUACGCAUCUUUGCGGGCCGAACCUGGGUAAAUCCCCCUCGUGUUGCCUGCUAGUCCCGCUCUUCUCACGAUCCCCCCCGCAACCGUAGAAGGGAUCCCAGGGAUCCCAUAGGUGUCGUUCCCACCGACAGAGUGUAACCCGCAUAACUUUCGAGUUCACACGGAUUUAGGGAAGACAUAGAUUCAACCCAUCGGGGCAUCUUAGGAGCAUAUACCACAAACAUAGGAAGAAAUAGCUCAAGCUCGGUAGCAGAGCAUGGUUGACAAAAGUAGGGGAUACAAUUUACCAAAGGCAUUAUGUAUCCAAGGAAAAGCUCACAAAGUUACUGAAAAAUAAGGACAUUGUCGGAUAGAACCCAACAAAGGACCUGGUGGUCCACGAGGGAUCUGAUGUGAGCAAUGGUACUCAACCAGAAGAAGAAAGGAUGCAAGGAGAUCGGGUUAUAGAAACAACUAACUAAUUCGAAGCUCAACGCAAAAGAAUUAUGAUUUCCAAUUCAAGGGAUUAGAAGCAGAGGCUUUGAUCAAAGACAAGUUGGAUAGACAUAGAUCGACAAUCAAUCAAGGUUUGAUUUUUCAAACAGUAGCUCACGUCUGGAGUGACGUCUGAGUCAAGGAAAGAAUUCUAAUUAGGACCAAUGAUCGCGAGCAUUCACGAACUUAUCGAACCAAAUGCUCGAAAUUAUGAUGACAAGGAUGCUAAUGAGUAUUGCUAGACAUAUGGAAGUAACCAUAAUGCAAGCCGUUAAGGAGGAACAAGAGUAAUGGGCUAUUUGAGCAUUUUCGGAAGAUCAAAUAGUUUUUCAGGGCAUCUUGUACUAACAAGAGCAAUUGGGGAUGAAGGUAUGAACGACAAUGUAGGUAGUUACCCAUAAGGAUUUAUCGGUGGUAGGGAUCGCAACAGCGAAGGGCACAAGUGUCACGCCCAAUAUGCGACCCUAUGCAAAAAGGAACUCGAAGGUCCCACCAAGGAUAGACCCGCAUAUUGAAACGCUUUUGCAAGGUGGAUAUCAUUACAUCAACAUUACAUAAUAGAUGGGGAUACAUACAAAAGGCAUACAAUGCCACACGAAUACACCAUCAUCUUACAUAAGAGCACCAUCCGACUACGGAUGAAACACAAACAGAAACUCAAAUGACAUCCACCCUGCUAGCCCAAGCUGCCGACCUGGAACCUAUCCCCUGAUCGAAGAAGAAGCAGAAGAAGAACUCCAAAACAAGCAAACAUCGCACUCGCAUCAUGAUCAUCGCAUAACCUGUACCUGCAACUGUUGUUGUAGUAAUCUGUGAGCCACGAGGACUCAACAAUCCCAUUACCAUGGGUAUCAAGACUAGCAAAGCUUAAUGGGAAAGGAAGGGGUAAAGUGGUGAGGUUGCAGCAGCGACUAAGCAUAAUAUGGUGGCUAACAUAUGCAAAUAAGAGCGAGAAGAGAAGCAAAGGAACGGUUGUGAAGCCAGCAAUGAUCAAGAGGUGAUCCUGGACUCCUACUUACGUCAAACAUAACCCAAAGACCGUGUUCACUUCCCGGACUCCGCCGAGAAGAGUCCAUCACGGCUACACACGCGGUUGAUGCGUUUUAAUUCGGAUCUGGUGUCAAGUUAUCUACAACCGGACAUUAACAAAUUCCCAUCUGCCACAUAACCGCGGGCACGGCUCUCGAAAGUUUAUACCCUGCAGGGGUGUCCCAACUUAGCCCAUGAUAAGCUCUCGCGAUCAACGAAGGAUAUUCCUUCUCCCAGGAAGACCCGAUCAGUCUCGGAAUCCCGGUUUACAAGACAUUUCGACAAUGGUAAAGCAAGUCCAGCAAGACCGCCCGAUGCGCCGACAUCCUGAUAGGAGCUGCACAUAUCUCGUUCUCAGGGCAACACCGGAUGAACACUACGUACAACUAAAACCAGACCCCAAGUUUCCCCGAGGUGGCGCUGCAAGUGGCUCUAGUUCGGACCAACACUUAGACAAGCAUUGGCCCGGGGGGGCUGAAUAAAGAUGACCGUCAAGAGAGCGACUCCCAAGGGAAAAGUAGGUGGUGGUGAGGCAAAUGGUAAAACCAAGGUUGGGCCUUGCUGGAGGAGUUUUAUUCAAAGCGAACUGUCAAGGGGGUCCCAUAAAUCACCCGACCGCGUAAGGAACGCAAAAUCCGGGAACAUAAUACUGGCAUGAUGGAAACUAGGGCGGCAAGAGUGGAACAAAACACCAGGCAUAAGGCCGAGCCUUCCACCCUUUACCAAAUAUAUAGAUGCAUUAAUAAUAUAAGAGAUAUUGUGAUAUCCCAACCAAAAUCCUAUCCACCAUGGAGUAAUCUUCAACUUCACCUGCAACUAAGAAUGCUAUAAGAGGGGCUGAGCAAAGCGGUAACAUAGCCAAACAACGGUUUGCUAGGAAGGGUGUCAAAGGUUAGAGGUUCAUGGCAAUUAGGGAGGCUUGAAGAGCAAAUGAUAGGUAACGUAACAUAGCUAUAGAACGAAGCAACAAGCAUAGCAAUGAUAGUAGUGAGAUCCAGGGUAGCGGUCAUCUUGCCUGAAAUCCAGCAAGGAAGAAGAACGAGUCCAUGGAGAAGAUGAAGCCACGAAGACGAACCACACGUAGACGAACGCAUCCUCACGAUCGCAACGAAACGGGAACUAUCGAGAAGAAGCACACAACAUAGUAAACACACCACACAUGAACAAGACAUGAUGCACAACAAGCAUGAUGCAUGACAAAGCUACAUUAAGCUACUCAUGGCAAGAUGUGAUGCAAACAAGAACAACACAUCAAGGCAAGUUUAAAUGAGGCCGGAAACAACAUAUAACAAUUCCGGUAAGUCCUCAUAUGCAAAUUUAGAAAUGGGUCCAGAUCUGAAUAAACCUUAUGUUCAAGUUGUUAAACAGCAAGUUAAGAUGCACCAAUAUGAUCUACAUGAGAUUCUAGUCAAGUUACAUAUAAAGUUCAUUUAGUUCGGAGCUACGACCUAGAAGAUAUGAGCAAAACAAGUUAAGCAUGGCAUUGAUGCAAAAUGCACUCAAACAUCAAGCAAACACCUCAAAACAAGGAUGCAACAUGAUAAUAUGAAACUACAUACAAAAUCAAGCAAGUUCCAUAUAGAGCACACUCAAAACGGAGCAACGGUUCAACACAUACACUCUAUACAAGGCAUAACAACAAUCUGUCCAAAACAGCAACUAGGCAUAUUGCAAGCAUCAAAACAAUAUGCUACAACACCACAAUAUGAAAACAAAAGGCAUGGUCAUGAUGUACAGGUAAAGCAUGACAAAACAUGAACACUGAGCUAUCUCCAGAAAUCACUAGAUUAUGCUCCAAAACACAUGACAAGAUUGCAAAUAAUAACAGUUUCAGACUUAUCAGGAAAUAACAUCAGGUUGCAAUAUUUACAGCUAUCAAACAACAUGUUACAGGAACUUAUCAUGACAAACAAAGGCAUGGCAUGAAUCUACUAAACCCAUAGAACAAAAGUCCCUUAGUGACCAUGAGCCAAAAGGGCACAGAAAAUAUGAUGGCACCCAUGUAAACAUGGCAAGUUAUAUGACAGAUUCAUACAUGGCAGGAACAACAAUAAGUAGGCUUGUUGGUGAGUUUGAACCACUCACCACAAAGCAAUACAUGGCAUGGAAAGGCAACCAACAGUAAUAAGACAUGUUUAUUAAGCUAAGCAUGGCAAGACCAAGUUCAUAGGAUGCAUGGAUCACUAGCAAAGCACAUGGCCAAAACUGAACUUCAUGUUAACAGGCUGACAGCAACAUUAUUUAGCAAGUUUGGAGCAAGAUAACAACAAGCUACAGCAGGCUAUAAUUGCAACCAGGGGCAUGAAUGGAUAGAGCAUGACAUGUACAACAAAACAUCCUUAGUGAACAUCUCCAGAUUAUGCAUAGAAUGACUUGUAGCAGCAGGUUUACACAGCAACAAAAUAUAACAGAAUCAGUCAGGAAAACAGCAACAACAAGUACCCUACUUCACAAGCUCGAUGCACUGAGUACAAGAUUCAUAAAAAUACAUGGAUGGCACCACUGGAAAGAUGGCAUAGCAUAGUUCAAAAAAUAUGUAGACAUCAACCUCAUAGGAUGCACACAUCAAACAUGUCAAAAAUGACAAAUGAGCAUGUUAUAACAGUUUCAGCAGGUUAACAUCACAUAGCACUCUUACAACGAUGAUUUAGGCAUCAAGAUGAGCUCAAAUGAAAAUGAUGCAAUGAGAUGAAAUGAAGUACUCGUCGAGACAAACAAUUUGACAUAUUACACGCACGAAACGUAGCAGUAUGCAUGGAGUUAUGAUGUGAUGAACAUGGCAUGAUAAUGUUGAAAAACUGGGACUUAGACGAAAAUCUCACCCCGCAAAAUCGGGACAGAACCGUUCGGGAUGGAUAGAUCUGGGCGGGGACGCACGUUUGGUUCAGAUCCCGGUGGAUCUCGUCCCACCUGGACGGAUCUGACCGGAUCCGAACUCCGGCAAGGGCGGCAGUCUCCGGCGAGGUCUUGGCGGCGCGGGGAGGCGCAGGAGGCGGCGGCGGUGACGGGGACCAGCGGGGCGGCGCAGGGUCGGUUGGCAGGGCGCUNNNNNNNNNNNNNNNNNNNNNNNNNNNNNNNNNNNNNNNNNNNNNNNNNNNNNNNNNNNNNNNNNNNNNNNNNNNNNNNNNNNNNNNNNNNNNNNNNNNNNNNNNNNNNNNNNNNNNNNNNNNNNNNNNNNNNNNNNNNNNNNNNNNNNNNNNNNNNNNNNNNNNNNNNNNNNNNNNNNNNNNNNNNNNNNNNNNNNNNNNNNNNNNNNNNNNNNNNNNNNNNNNNNNNNNNNNNNNNNNNNNNNNNNNNNNNNNNNNNNNNNNNNNNNNNNNNNNNNNNNNNNNNNNNNNNNNNNNNNNNNNNNNNNNNNNNNNNNNNNNNNNNNNNNNNNNNNNNNNNNNNNNNNNNNNNNNNNNNNNNNNNNNNNNNNNNNNNNNNNNNNNNNNNNNNNNNNNNNNNNNNNNNNNNNNNNNNNNNNNNNNNNNNNNNNNNNNNNNNNNNNNNNNNNNNNNNNNNNNNNNNNNNNNNNNNNNNNNNNNNNNNNNNNNCGGGCGGUGGCAGCGGGACGGGCCGCGAGGGCCCGCGGUGGGCCGCGGCGGGCUCGGCGGCGGGCGGCGGAGCGCCGGGAUAGGUGGCGACUUGUGAUAGGACAGGGCGACGGCACUAGACAUGUCCGGCGCGGGACGGACGUGUCCGGCGACGCAAAGGAGAGUGGAGCUAGGGUUAGGGGUGAAAUUGAUCCGAAAAUUCAGGGGAGGGGGUGUUUAUAUAGGUAGAGGGAGCUAGGAGAGUCCAAAAGAGGUGCGGUUUUCGGCCACGUGAUCGUGAUCGAACGACCCAGAGCAUGGAAGGGAGUUUGCUGGGUUUUGGGCCACUUUGAAAGGGGUGUUGGGCUGCACACAAAAGAGGCCUUUACGGUUACCCGGUUAACCAUUGGAGUAUCAAACGACCUCCAAAUGGCACGAAACUUGACAGGUGGUCUACCGAUGGUGUACCAAGGCAGCUUGGCAAACCUCGGUCCAUUCCGAGUACAUUUAACACCCGCACAUGAAAAGAGGCAAAAGGGGGACGCCGGGGGACAUAGGAGUGCCAGAUUGCAAAACGGACUACGGGGAAAAUGCUCGGAUGCAUGAGACGAACACGUAUGCAAAAUGAAAUGCACAUGAUGACAUGGCAAUAUGCAACACGCAAGCACAUGACAUGGAAACGACGGAGAAUAACUGGCAGACACCUGGCGCAUCGGAUCCAGGGCGUUACAACACUCCUCCACUAACAAUAGAUCUCGUCCCGAGAUCUUAGGACCGAGACGGAAGGGAAAAGGGAUGAGGCAAAACAAGAACUCAAGAGAAGAAGCAAAGAAUCGAGAGCACUCGAGAAGAAGAGAUGAACGACGAGAAUGACGAGAAUUGAAAGCUCACGGAAUCAGAUAGACUAUGAGACCACUCCGGUUAGAACGAGAUAAGAAACGAAUAAGACUGAAAGGAUUUAGGCAGCACUCCGGCUGAAAAAAGGAAGGAUUAGAACAUGAAUUUCACAAGAUGGGAUGGCACUUGACGACAUAAGCAACGCAAUGCCUCCGGAAGAAUUGAAAGAAUGGAAGAAAAGAACUUAGAAGGAAGGAUUGAAUGGAGUUGUUGAGACAAUCAACAACGAAAAGAAUAAGCUUGUUGUGGUCUUAUAGGUAACAUCUCAAGAUCAUAAGGUGAUAACCGGCCACAAACGGAAAUGCUUGGAUAGCUGAGAACAACGAAGAAAAGCAAAACUCCACUUCAAAAGAAUACGGAGAAUUAAUUGCACUUCGAGAUGCAAGAAGAAAAGAUACUUGAACUCCACCGACAAGAAUCUUGAUGAACACUUGAAGAAUGAACUAAAUCAUGAAGAACCACCAUGAAGAACUCCGGUAACAAAAAGGAUGACGAGAUAAAAUGAAGGAUGAAAGAAUAAGAUUAGCCUUACGGUGAUUUAGAUGGGGGUUCCGACGAGAUGGCCGAGGAAAUUUGAACUCCGGGAAAAGAAAAGAUGAGAACACUUGGAACUAGAAUUUAUUCAUCCAGAACAAACUCCGAAGGAAGGGAUUACUCAAUUUGAUGAAAUAAGAAUAAGAUUUAUUGUAUGCUUAUCCUUCAUCAAAUUAAAUUGAUGACAAGCAAUGGAUUUUGCAUAGUACUUAUUCUUCUUGAAAAGUAUUGAGAAGUGACAUAUCGCAAACUUGAGAAGGUCUUCAUGAACCACCGGUAGGUUUUAAAAGAACGAAUGGAUUAAUAUGAUAAUCAAAGAAAAAGAAUCUUGAACGAACCACCGUAAAAAUUCGAAAAUGACUGAUGAAAGAGAAUGAAUCACCGGGAAGGAUUCGAAGAACAAUAUGCUAGAGGGAAAUUUAGAUGCAAAAGAACAGGAAGAACUCGAGCUGAUUAAAGAACAUUUGAUCGAAACGCCGGGAUAAAUAGAGAACGAUAACUGGAAUGAUGGCCUCCAGUGAAAAUAAAUGAAAAAAAACAAAUCCUGACAUACUCCGGAUGGUUAAGAAAAGGAAUAUUUGACAAACGGAAUAAUUCGAGAGGAUAACAUGAAGUUGGAACCAUGAAUCUUCGAGAGAACAGACAAGAUUUUGAGGAAAAACUCUUCUUCGGUCUUCAAAGCUGAGAAUGACGACGAGAAACAUCACUGAAAUUACUGAGAUACUCCGGGAGAAUGAAAAAUACGAAGGGUUGAACCAACAAUGAAAUGAUUUGAAAUCUAUCUUGGAAAAGGCACGUGACUGAUGAAAUUCAUUCUUACGUCACACUUGAAAAGAAUUGCGAAUAACUCUGGGGGAAUUAGAAGAGUCAGGUAAGAUCCUGGAAAAAAACCCUGUGGGUUAGGGCCCACUAAAGAGAUAACCCCGUUGGAAAGGAUUGUUGAAGAGAUAGAUGUUGCACCGGAACAAUUGAAAUAUUUGAAUGAGGUGACAACCUCGAAUUAAUUGGAACACAAACGAAUCUUCUGAGAUGUCUUGAACACUCCGGAAGGAUAAACUGGCGGGAGGCGAACGAGCAAGGGGAAAACAUUUGAGCCGAGGAAACGAAUAUGAUCAACACCAAAAAACUAGAAUUGGGUUCACCGGAAAAGAAAAAGAGAUGAAGAAUGUCGAACAAAACGAGAAUUCACCGGUUGAAAUAAUUGAGGGAAGACUGAAGAGGCUCCGUACGAAUGAAAUUGAUGCUCGAAAGAGACUCAGACUCCGGGAAGAAAAAGGGUGGGAGGGCGGGAAAAACAAAGGCAACUGGAAGUGGAAAACGAUGAAUAACUUCAAGAGGAAACACCGAUUGAAAUCAUUGAGGAAAGAAAGCAAAGACUUCGCACGAGUAGGAUGGAUACUCGAUUAUGGACUCCGGCUCCAAGAAGAAAAGGGUGGGCGGGUGGGAAAAACAAGGACAACUUCAGACAGGGAAACAACAUUGAUUGAAAAGAGCUGGGGAUUAAUCCUGCAGAAGAUGAUGAGGAUCGAAACCACUCGAAGAGAGGUGCACCGGAUUGAAAAGAGGAUGGGUAACUCACGAAACUAACCGCGUGAUCCUAAAGAAAAAUUUGAAGGGGAAGAGGAGUAGUUCAAAACACCUACAUCAAGAUUCCUCACCAGAGCGACGAAGGGGCAGAGGAGUAAAAAGAAUUCCUACUCUCCGAUAUAAUUAGACUCAGAAAACAGUUUUCUUCUAGACUCAACAAUGGCCAAACUACACGAUCAAUCAAGGGGGAUCCUAGGGUCGGUCGAGGCUCUGAUACCAACUUGUCACGCCCAAUAUGCGACCCUAUCCAAAAGGAACUCGAAGGUCCCACCAAGGAUAGACCCGCAUAUUGAAACGCUUUUGCAAGGUGGAUAUCAUUACAUCAACAUUACAUAAUAGAUGGGGAUACAUACAAAAGGCAUACAAUGCCACACGAAUACAACAUCAUCUUACAUAAGAGCACCAUCUGACUACGGAUGAAACACAAACAGAAACUCAAACAACAUCCACCCUGCUAGCCCAGGCUGCCGACCUGGAACCUAUCCCCUAAUCGAAGAAGAAGUAGAAGAAGAACUCCAAAACAAGCAAACAUCGCACUCACAUCAUGAUCAUCGCAUAACCUGUACCUGCAACUGUUGUUGUAGUAAUUUGUGAGCCACGAAGACUCAGCAAUCCCAUUACCAUGGGUAUCAAGACUAGCAAAGCUUAAUGGGAAAGGAAGGCGUAAAGUGGUGAUGUUGCAGCAGCGACUAAGCAUAAUAUGGUGGCUAACAUACGCGAAUAAGAGCGAGAAGAGAAGCAAAGGAACGGUCGUGAAGCUAGCAAUGAUCAAGAGGUGAUCCUGAACUCCUACUUAUGUCAAACAUAACCCAAAGACCGUGUUCACUUCCCGGACUCCGUCGAGAAGAGACCAUCACGGCUACACACGCGGUUGAUGCGUUUUAAUUCGGAUCUGGUGUCAAGUUAUCUACAACCGGACAUUAAUAAAUUCCCAUCUGCCACAUAACUGCGGGCACAGCUCUCGAAAGUUUAUACCCUGUAGGGGUGUCCCAACUUAGCCCAUGAUAAGAUCUCGCGAUCAACGAAGGAUAUUCCUUCUCCCAGGAAGACCCGAUCAGUCUCGAAAUCCCGGUUUACAAGACAUUUCGACAAUGGUAAAACAAGUCCAGCAAGACCGCCCGAUGCGCCAACAUCCCGAUAGGAGCUGCACAUAUCUCGUUCUCAGGGCAACACCGGAUGAACACUACGUACAACUAAAACCAGACCUCAAGUUUCCCCGAGGUGGCGCUGCAAGUGGCUCUAGUUCGGACCAACACUUAGACAAGCAUUGGCCGGGGGGGGGGGCUGAAUAAAGAUGACCCUUGAGAGAGCGACUCCCAAGGGAAAUGUAGGUGGUGGUGAGGCAAAUGGUAAAACCAAGGUUGGGCCUUGCUGGAGGAGUUUUAUUCAAAGCGAACUGUCAAGGGGGUCCCAUAAAUCACCGGACCGCGUAAGGAACGCAAAAUCUGGGAACAUAAUACCAGUAUGACGGAAACUAGGGCGGCAAGAGUGGAACAAAACACCAGGCAUAAGGCCGAGCCUUCCACCCUUUACCAAAUAUAUAGAUGCAUUAAUAAUAUAAGAGAUAUUGUGAUAUCCCAACCAAAAUCCUGUCCACCAUGGAGUAAUCUUCAACUUCACCUGCAACUAACAACGCUAUAAGAGGGGCUAAGCAAAGAGGUAACAUAGCCAAACAACGGUUUGCUAGGAAGGGUGUCAAAGGUUAGAGGUUCAUGGCAAUUAGGGAGGCUUGAAGAGAAAAUGAUAGGUAAUGCAGCAUAGCGAUAGAACGAAGCAACUAGCAUAGCAAUGAUAGUAGUGAGAUCCAGGGUAGCCGUCAUCUUGCCUGAAAUCCCGCAAGGAAGAAGAACGAGUCCAUGAAGAAGAUGAAGCCACAAAGACGAACCACACGUAGACGAACGCAUCCUCACGAUCGCCACGAAACGGGAACUAUCGAGAAGAAGCACACAACAUAGUAAACACACCACACAUGAACAAGACAUGAUGCAAAACAAGCAUGAUGCAUGACAAAGCUACAUGAAGCUACUCAUGGCAAGAUGUGAUGCAAACAAGAACAACACAUCAAGGCAAGUUUAAAUGAGGCCGGAAACAACAUAUAACAAUUCCGGUAAGUCCUCAUAUGCAAAUUUAGAAAUGGGUCCAGAUCUGAAUAAACCUUAUGUUCAAGUUGUUAAACAACAAGUUAAGAUGCACCAAUAUGAUCUACACGAGAUUCUAGUCAAGUUACAUAUAAAGUUCAUUUAGUUCGGAGCUACGGCCUAGAAGAUAUGAGCAAAACAAGUUAAGCAUGGCAUUGAUGCAAAAUGCACUCAAACAUCAAGCAAACACCUCAAAACAAGGAUUCAACAUGAUAAUAUGAAACUACAUGCAAAAUCAAGCAAGUUCCAUAUAGAGCACUCUCAAAACGGAGCGACGGUUCAACACAUACACUCUAUACAAGGCAUAACAACAAUAUGUCCAAAACAGCAACUAGGCAUAUUGCAAGCAUCAAAACAAUAUGCUACAGCACCACAAUAUGAAAACAAAAGGCAUGGUCAUGAUGUAUAGGUAAAGCAUGAAAAAACAUGAACACUGAGCUAUCUCCAGAAAUCAUUAGAUCGUGCUCCAAAACACAUGACAAGAUUGCAAAUAAUAACAGUUUCAGACUUAUCAGGAAAUAACAUCAGGUUGCAAUGUUUAGAGCUAUCAAACAACAUGUUACAGGAACUUAUCAUGACAAACAAAGGCAUGGCAUGAAUCUGCUAAACCCAUAGAACAAAAGUCCCUUACUGACCAUGAGCCAAAAGGGCAUAGAAAAUAUGAUGGCACCCAUGUAAACAUGGCAAGUUAUGACAGAUUCAUACAUGGCAGGAACAACAAUAAGUAGGCAUGUUGGUGAGCUUGAACCACUCACCACAGAGCAAUACAUGGCAUAUCAAGGCAACCAACAGUAAGAAGACAUGUUUAUGAAGGUAAGAAUGGCAAUAACAAGUUCAUAGGAUGCAUGGAUCACUAGCAAAGCACAUGGCCAAAACUGAACUUCAUGUUAACAGGCUAACAGCAACAUUAUUUAGCAAGUUUGGAGCAAGAUAACAACAAGCUACAGUAGGAUAUAAUUGCAACCAGGGGCAUGAAUGGAUAGAGCAUGACAUGUACAACAAAACAUCCUUAGUGAACAUCUCCAGAUUAUGCAUAGAAUGACUUGUAGCAGCAUGUUUACACAGCAACAAAAUAUAACAGAAUCAGUCAGGAAAACAGCAACAACAAGUACCCUACUUCACAAGCUCGAUGCACUGAGUACAAGAUUCACAAAAAUACAUGGAUGGCACCACUGGAAAGAUGGCAUAGCAUAGUUCAAAAAAUAUGUAGACAUCAACCUCAUAGGAUGCACACAUCAAACAUGGCAAAAAUGACAAACGAGCAUGUUAUAACAGUUUCAGCAGGUUAACAUCACAUAGCACUCUUACAACGAUGAUUCAGGCAUCAAGAUGAGCUCAAAUGAAAAUGAUGCAAUGAGAAGAAAUGAAGUACUCGUCGAGACAAACAAUUUGACAUAUUACAUGCACGAAACGUAGCAGUAUGCAUGGAGUUAUGAUGCAAUGAACAUGGCAUGAUAAUGUUGAAAAACUGGGACUUGGACGAAAAUCUCACCCCGCAAAAUCGGGACGGAACCGUUCGGGAUGGAGAGACCCGGGCGGGGACGCGCGUUUGGUUCGGAUCCCGGUGGAUCUCGUCCCGCCUGGACGGAUCUGACCGGAUCCGAACUCCGGCAAGGGCGGUGGUCUCCUGCGAGGUCUUGGCGGCGCGGGGAGGCGCGGGAGGCGGCGGCGAUCGACGGGGACCAGCGGGGCGGCGCGGGGUCGGUUGGCAGGGCGCCGGCGAGGCGAGCGGCCACGGGCAGAGGGCGCGGCGGCUCUAGUCGCCGCGGGNNNNNNNNNNNNNNNNNNNNNNNNNNNNNNNNNNNNNNNNNNNNNNNNNNNNNNNNNNNNNNNNNNNNNNNNNNNNNNNNNNNNNNNNNNNNNNNNNNNNNNNNNNNNNNNNNNNNNNNNNNNNNNNNNNNNNNNNNNNNNNNNNNNNNNNNNNNNNNNNNNNNNNNNNNNNNNNNNNNNNNNNNNNNNNNNNNNNNNNNNNNNNNNNNNNNNNNNNNNNNNNNNNNNNNNNNNNNNNNNNNNNNNNNNNNNNNNNNNNNNNNNNNNNNNNNNNNNNNNNNNNNNNNNNNNNNNNNNNNNNNNNNNNNNNNNNNNNNNNNNNNNNNNNNNNNNNNNNNNNNNNNNNNNNNNNNNNNNNNNNNNNNNNNNNNNNNNNNNNNNNNNNNNNNNNNNNNNNNNNNNNNNNNNNNNNNNNNNNNNNNNNNNNNNNNNNNNNNNNNNNNNNNNNNNNNNNNNNNNNNNNNNNNNNNNNNNNNNNNNNNNNNNNNNNNNNNNNNNNNNNNNNNNNNNNNNNNNNNNNNNNNNNNNNNNNNNNNNNNNNNNNNNNNNNNNNNNNNNNNNNNNNNNNNNNNNNNNNNNNNNUGCGCCGCGGCGGGCUCGGCGGCGGGCGGCGGAGCGCCGGGACAGGUAGCGACUUGUGAUAGGAUGGGGCGGCGGUGAUGGACAUGUCCGGCGCGGGACGGACGUGUCCGGCGGCGUAGAGGAGAGUGGAGCUUGGGUUAGGGGUGAAAUUGAUCCGAAAAUUCGGGGGAGGGGGUGUUUAUAUAGGUAGAGGGAGCUAGGAGAGUCCAAAAGAGGUGCGGUUUUCGGCCACGCGAUCAUGAUCGAACGACCGAGAGCAUGGAGGGGAGUUUGCUGGGUUUUGGGCCACUUUGAAAGGGGUGUUGGGCUGCACACAAAAGAGGCCUUUACGGUUACCCGGUUAACCGUUGGAGUAUCAAACGACCUCCAAAUGGCACGAAACUUGACAGGCGGUCUACCGGUGGUGUACCAAGGCCGCUUGGCAAACCUCGGUCCAUUCCAAGAACGUUUAACACCCGCACAUGAAAAGAGGCAAAAGGGGGACGCUGGGGGACAUAGGAGUGCCGGAUUGCAAAACGGACAACGGGGAAAAUGCUCGGAUGCAUGAGACGAACACGUAUGCAAAAUGAAAUGCACAUGUUGACAUGGCAAUAUGCAACACGCAAGCACAUGACAUGGCAAUGACGGCGAAUAACUGGCAGACACCUGGCGCAUCGGAUCCGGGGCAUUACAACAAGGGUCUCUAGAAAACUUUGGAGAGUAUCUUCAGAAUCUUCUGGUGCACCAAGAAAUCAUCUGGAGUGAGGGGCUCUUCGGGAGAAAGUAUUUUCGAGAACCUAGAGUUAGAGUUAACAAAAUCAUUUAACCCGAAUAGAAGAGAGAUCAGAGUCCCAGAGUAUAGACGAGGAAUAAAAGAUCCUAAUACCACCCAAUGGCAACAUGGGCCCGUAAGCCACAUAACCAUGUUAUUAAAACAGUUUUUCAAAGUCUAGACUCAACUUCGGCCAAGGAGUUGGAAAGGGGGAUCCUACAGGUAGUCAACUCUGACACCAACUUGUGACGCCCCCGAUUCAAUCAUACACUAAUCAUACACGCAAAAUGUGUACGAUCAAGAUCAGGAACUCACGGGAAGAUAUCACAACACAACUCUAGACACAAAUAAAAUAAUACAAGCUUCAUAUUACAAGCCAGGGGCCUUGAAGGCUCGAAUACAUAGCUCGAUACACAAGAGUCAGCGGAAGCAACAAUAUCUAAGGACAGACACAAGUUAAACAAAGAUGCCUUAAGAAGGCUAGCACAAAAGCAACAAUGAUCGAAGAGGCAAGGCCUCCUGCCUGGGACCUCCUAACUACUCCUGGCAUCGGCGGUCUCCACGUAGCAGUAUCCGUCGGUGGUGGCAUCUGGCUCCAGGGAUCCACCAUCUGGUUGCAUCAACCGGAAAUAAGAAAGAAGGGGGAAAAGGGGGUAGCAAAGCAACCGUGAGUACUCAUCCAAAGUACUCGCAAGCAUCAGAUCUAUACUAUGUAUGCAUUGGUAUCAAAUGGAAGGGUUGUAUAUGUGGACUGAACUACAGAAUGCCAGAAUAGAGGGGGAAGGCCUAGCCUAUCGAAGACUAGCAUCUUCAAGCAGCUCCAAGCAUCUUGCAUCAUGUAGAAGAGUAAAGAAUAGCAAUUUAUAAUUAUCAAACAUGUUGUAACAUUAACGCCUAGAGAUCCUUCCUCGACUCCCUACGAGAAAGCAAUCCCGGAGCCACAUAUCCAUCACAUAUCUCAAGUAUCCAUUUCUAGUUAUAUAAGAUCAGGAUAUAAGUCUGAACGUCCAUUACCGUGGACUCGGUAUUCGAAUAUAUAUCUUCCCUAUAGGGGUGCACCACGUUACCCAACACGCACGAUCACUCUGGCCGGGCACACCUUUCUGGGGUCAAUGCCCGGCCUCGGAAGAUCAAUAGGUCGCAACCCUACCUAGGCUCAGCAGAGAGGUCCCCGCUGGUCUACAUCCUAAGCACUCCGGGGUCUGGUCCCAUCGCCCGUUGCACUCCGGGUCGUUGCGAGCGGGGCGGACCAGGCUCCACCACUACAGGAUGGUGCCGGCCCAGCCGUGCCGCACUGCUGAACUGGACGUCCGACAAAGCUUCGGCUGAUACCACGACGUCGAGGCCCAUAUCUAUACUCGCGUGCUGGUUAGUGCGUAAAGGCCAGAGGUCAACUCAGAACAAAUACCCAAACCUGUUAGUGCAUUGGGGGCUCGCGAAAACGAGCAGAGACUCACGAUAAUGUGACCCUGUCGCCCCGUCUCGUGGACUUACGACAAGGGCCCAGACUACCCGGUCGUGCCACGUGGAAAACUCGCGGGUGCUCAACGGGCCCACCCGACUUUCACAUCAACUCGCGGGUACCCCUCAGGGCCGACCCGACUCCAACAAUGGUCUCAAGUAAAGUCAAGGUAAUUGUGUGUCCAGACAUCAAAGGGAAAACCCAAGGAAUCACCCCCGGUGGAUUCCACUCAAUGUAAUCAUCAAGGUGAACGUAAGAGGGACCACCCUCGAGGUUCACACUUGAGGUGUUGAACGGCAGAGCCGUAUCAGGAAUGGUGAAACAGGAAAUCACCCUCGAUGACCACGACCGAAUAGCUACACUACAGAAUUAUCAUCAGGAGUGCGUUAUGAGGGAUCACCCUCGGCACUCGAUAGUAGCUCUGCAGAGUCGAUCAACAAAAGGGGCGUGAUGUGAUGUGAGGUGUCGGGCUGUGGUCGUCGAUCAUGUCGAUCGAGGCGUCGAUGAUGAAGCAGGGGCAACAAGAACAAGUGGGGGUCACUGAUGGAUCACUAGCCAACCUGUACUAAGCAGUUUGGGAUAAGCAGGUAGGGAACAAUAAGCAGGUACAAAAGUAGGCUAUGCAUCAGAAUAGGAGCAAACAAUAACAGUUGCAAAAUCUAAUGCAAGCAUGAGAGUAUAGAAUGGGCGAUAUCGGGAUGAUCAAAGGGGGGGCUUGCCUGGUUGCUCAGACAAGAAGGAGGGUCGUCGGUGACAUAGCCGAUCACAGUGGCAUCAGCAGCGGUCUCAGGGUCUACCAGAGAGAAGAGGGGGAAGAAACAGUAAAUACACGCAAACAUAUGCAUAACAUGACAAUAAGCGAUGCUAGAGGUGUUCUAACGCAGGGUUACACGAUACCGGUAAAGGGAGACAACAUCCGGGAAAGUUUUCCCAGUUUCGGACGUUUGUCAGACACAUGAACCGAAGGGGAAAUGUUGCAUGUUCGCUAUGCUAGGUACGUGUGGCGGAUGAACGGACCGCAUGUUCGGAUUCGUCUCGUCGUUCAGAGAAACUUUCAUGUAUAAAACUUUUUCAUCUGAGCUACGGCUUAUUUUCUAUGAUUUUCAAAGAUUUAAACAUUAUUUUGGAAUUUAAUUUAAUUCGAAAAUAAAUAACAAAAUGCUACGUGUACCAAACUCCGUGUACACAGAAGUGUACCAGAGCUGACAUGUGGGCCAGGGGUCCUAGUUGACCAGUCAAUGUUUGACUGGUCAAUAGGGGGUGGGGCCCCCUGUCAUACACCGUUUAGUCUAGUCUAAUAGGUUAGUUAACUAAGCUAGGUGGUUAGUAUAAUUAAGUAUAAUUUAUUAAGUUAAUUAAGCAUUUAACUAAUUAAUUAAUUAUUUUUAUAAUAAAUAUAUUUUUUACAUUUCUUCUAAAAAACAGGGGCGUGGGGCCUCGCUGUCAUAACCCUAGGAGCCUAGUGGGCGAAGGGCGUCACGGUGCUUGCGUGGACGCCCGCCCGAACGGCCACGGCAGAGGUGAACGCUCCAGGGCGCUGGCGCUGGACGCCGGAGGUGGCCACGGGGAUCAUCGGCGAUGCGGUGGGGCGACAAAGGAGGCGGCACGAGGCGAGCAGGCGCCGUGCGGGGGCAGGGAGGAGGCCAGGUGCGAGGCCAUGGGGAAGCAGCUGCUGCGCAGCAGUACACGGGCGAGCGCGCACGUGCGGACGAGCCGAGUACGACCCCGGGCGACAGCACACGCAUGUGGGAAGAAGGGGGAUUCGAGGAGGGGCUCACGAAGAUCCGGUAGAGCAGGUCAGUGGGCUCGGGGAGGCGCUGAUGAUGGCAAAUCGACAGCGACGAGCUUCGGCGACCAACGGUGAAGACGAAGACGGUGACGUUGAUGGGGCGGCUCCCCCUGCUUGAUCUGGCCCCGAAGCCACCAUAGACAAGGACGGCGGUCCUCCUCGACACUAGCAGAUGGCGAACUGGCGCCAAUGGCCAUGGUGGUUUGCGGCGGCGUGCUCCUGUACAUGGCUAGUAGCUCGAUCCACAGCGAGGGAGAGGCGAGGAAGAGGGGGAAAACAACUAGGAUUCGACAGAGGGGGAGGGUCGACGACGCUUUGUAGGGUGCUGGGUGUGUCGGAUGGCCGCCACGCAAGGCAUGGCGCGGCCAUUGUCGGAUGUUGGGUUCCGGCAGACCCUUAAGGUUUGAACUCUGGGGUGCGCAUGAAGAUCUCUCCCCUAUCGAUCUACGUCCGAUCGCCUCACGUGAUCUAAGCUGAAAACGAUGAACGACACGAGGGACACAAGAUUUAUACUGGUUCGGGCCACCAUUGUGGUGUAAUACCCUACUCCAGUGUGUGGUGUGGUGGAUUGCCUCUAGGGCUGGUGAUGAACAGUACAAGGGAAGAACGGCCUCGCGAGAGGUGUUCUUGAGCUGGUGCGAUGAACUGCUUGGGUGAGUUUGAUCGCCUCUCUCUCUCUCUCUCUCUCUCUCUCUCUCUCUCUCUCUCUUUCUGCUGAAUAUCCGAUCAGAUCCCCCAUACUCUGUGGUGGCUAGCUAUAUUUAUAGAGGCCCUCGUCCUCUUCCCAAAUAUUGAGCGGGAAGGGUGCCAACAACGGCCAUUUUGAAGGGGAACAUCUAGUACAAGUUAUCCUGACUAAAGUUGGUCUUCGGCUGCCAAAAGCACUGGUGAUGACAUUUUCUUGGGCUCCACGGUGACCUCCAUCCUGCCGCUCUGCUGGUCUUGGUCUUGUUGCACUGAAAUGGCAACCAUUGCCUGAUGCCUCUGUACUCCACGCCUGUGCUUGCCCCCUUUGCACCAAAGAGGAAACAAGGACACUGCUCAGGCCGGUGCCCGCCUGGCGCCCGGCUGGUCUCGAUCGUCAUGGCUUGCAUCACGAGCACCUCGCGAGGUACCCUGCCUUGAUCUCUCCGCCUCCUCGCGAGCCUGCCUGGCGAGGCCGUCCCUGAGGAAGCCUUGCAUUAUCCGCCCCGCGAGUCUUGGCCCCUCGCGAGGGUCUUGAGUCUUGUGCUGAUGAAGAUGGGCCGUACUGGGCCACCACUUGAGCCACGCCGCAGGCCGCAGGCAGGCAAGUCUGGGGACCCCCGUUCCCAGAACACCGACAGUAGCCCCCGGGCCCAAGGCGCGGUCAGACUUGGCUUAGCGGAGAAGCGAAGGGGCAAGUGUAGAGAGCCGUGGGCCCCAUCAGCCUGCGGCCUUGGGCGCCACUUGGUGGUUGAUUGGACGUGGGCGUCUCCGCUUCCCCAUGCUGCCUCAGCAACUUCUCGACUGACAAAAGGCUGGCUCUGGGUUAGCCUUACCUCAUUACCCUCGUUCUCCUUGCUCUAGAUCCCUUUUCCUGCCACCAAAAUCUCCAGAUCUGCCGCAUUCUUUCUCCUCCAGCAAACUAUGCCCCCCCGCAAGACUCCGGCUGGGGCUGCAUCGGCCUGGUACUCGCCGGCCCUGGUCUCUCCCAACGUGAUGGAAAAGAAUCUCACCCUCACGCGCCGGAUGGCGGCGUCGCAGAUCAACGAGAUGGGGGAGACUGCGCUCCGUCUUGGCUCCGCCCAGCCAGAGGACAAGGGGAGCACCUUCUACCCCUUCUUAUUGAACGCCGUCAUCGCUGGUCUGGUUCCUCCCUUCUCUGAGUUCUUCCUUGCCGUCCUUCGCCAGUAUCAGCUGCAUGCUCUGCAUAUCCACCCCAACUCCAUACUCCUCUUGUUGAUCUUCGCCUACUACUGUGAGGUGCACGUCGGGGUGGCGCCCUCCGUGGCCUUGCUGCGCCACUUCUUCUCCCUCCGGGUCUCCGGCGGCAAUAUCUCGGCGUGCGCGAGUUUUGUCGCGUACUCCAAAUCCAACGCCAUCUCGAAGGCCGGGAAGGGGGCUGAGGGCUUCCGGAGCAAGUGGGUCAUGGUGAACGCUGGGUGUCACAACCCCCUGCUGGAGUUGCCGACAAAGCGGCCCAAGGCUGUUGAGGCGUGAUCCCGCGCGAAGCUCGAUGAUCGGCGGGUGAAGUGGGUGAUGGACAAGAUGAACGCCGACCUGAGGCCGGGCAGUCUGAGGGCGGCGAAGCUGACCGGGGCCUCUCUCCUGAGGGAGUUUCUGUUGCACCGGGUGGCCCCUCUCCAGGCACACCCGCGCCCGCUGUGGACGCUCGCGGAUGCGGAUGUCGUCCUCCACCUGAGCUUGGACGCCCUGAGCGACGAGGAUCUGACUGCGGCUCUCCGCUGCUUGGUUGGAGAGGAAGUGGCAGGCCCGGUGGAUGCUCCGGUCCCUUUGUUCCUCCGUGAGGACUGGGAGCUGGUGGUGGACGCCAUGCCCACCUUUGACGGAGUCGGCCUGGUGCCAUCAGAGGAUCCUGAGGGUCAGGCGGCGACGGUGACGGUGAACCUAUCCUCUGGUGAAUCCAGCGGAGAAGAGGAGGGAGAUGCCGACGAGGAUGAGGAGCGUGACUCGGAUGCGACCUUUGAGGGGACAUGGGAGACUUCUCCCUGGCGUAGGGCGAGCACCCUGCGCUUCAUGCGUGACGACGACGAGGCCGACGCUAGGCGGGGAGGGGAGGAUGCGCCCCUGGUCCCGAGGAAGGACGGGUCCGGGCUAAUCUCCCGAGGGGCUUCACCAGCCCGCGCGUCGGCCGGGGCCAACUUUAGCUCUUCAGGUGCGCCUUCUUCUGCGACCGGGCCUCCCGAGGCUAAGCCCCGCAAGAGGCUUUCGGGCUUCAAGCUUGGCCGGAGUCCGUGGGAUCCCGCGGCGGUCAACAAGUAAGUAUCCGAACUUCGCCUCGCCCCUGUCUUUUUGCUGUCAAAGCCUGACAUCUUCCAUUGGGUAGGUUGCUACCUGCAGCAAAGAGGCUGA
Molecule: long non-coding RNA, 53683 nt
Filed under: Triticum aestivum (bread wheat)
Lineage: Eukaryota; Viridiplantae; Streptophyta; Magnoliopsida; Poales; Poaceae
Description: long non-coding RNA (TAES_LNC011770)
Source: RNAcentral